RNAcentral lists this long non-coding RNA (70981 nucleotides) under Populus tremula. Its description in RNAcentral is "long non-coding RNA (PTRE_LNC001425)". The stretch from base 5801 to 5954 matches the Rfam family "MIR480 microRNA precursor family". Lineage: Eukaryota; Viridiplantae; Streptophyta; Magnoliopsida; Malpighiales; Salicaceae. The record is from RNAcentral.
UGGAAACUUCAUCUCCUCUAACUGAGAGAACAACUUCAGAUUUCUGAUGAAGCUUGAGGAACUGUAAUUUUGAGAGUUGGGGUAAAAUACCCGACCGUAAAACACGCACCCCACUUCCAUCAAGAUUAAGAUACCUGAGAUCCUUCAGCCUUUCCAUUCCCUCGGGCAAAUCUUCAAGUCCAGUGUAACUGAGAUCCAACUUCUCCAAUGCCUUAAGCUUUGCUAAUGAUGGUACAUAACUCAGCUUUGCACACCAUCCCAGCAACAAUGCAGUGAGUCUCGUCAGAUGAGAAAUAGAAUCCGGCAACUUCUCUAUAUCUGUGUCGGAAAGAUCAAGAACCUUGAGUCCGAUGAGGUGCUGGAAAAAAGAAUCCUCACCAAAUUCAAUUUGUAGUUUCUGCAUAACAAUAAUGUUGAGAGACGGGGGCACAUUGGUGAAAAGCCUGUUGGAAUAUUCUCGAUUCUAUUUUCCAUGAGUGAAACUCUUAACAGAUCCUCUCUCCACAAUCUUACACCGGGUAAUUCUGUUAGCUGUGCACCUGCUUGAACCAUAGCCCCCCACUUUCGUUCAAUAUUUUCCAAGCCAUAUCCCAAAUCAAAUCAUGCAUCUUGACAUAUCUGUAAUCUUCAUCGUCCCUGGAACCUUCUAAUAAGCUGGCAUCUUCAAGUUGAUCAAGCAUGGUAUGGCCCCUAUCAAAUCGUGCAUGCCUUCCCCAUUUCUUUGACUAUACCCUCGUCAAUCAAAUACUCUAUCAAGUCCUCUCUCAAGAUGAUCUUGCCUUUUGGAAAUAGUGUGAUAUGUAAGAAGCACUCUUGAAGUGCUGAAUCGUUCAACUGGCAUAGCUAAAUUCAACUCGAAAUACAUUGGCUUCCAUCUCACCUGGUCCAACUUCUAAUCUUCUCAGUUUUAGCAAUGCAUCUCUCCAACGAUAUUCACAUCCACUCCCUUCAUGCUUCGAGCCAUUGUCAUGAUUCCAAGGGCAAACCAGCACACUCCUUCACAAUAGACUCUGCGAUCUCAGGAUAGGUGCACCACCACGCCCUAAUCUGUCUUGAACAGAUCCCAAGCCUCACCCUCAGAAAGAGGCUCCACUUUGAUUAUCCUUUGGCAAUCCAUUUUUCGACAUAUCUCCGUGAUCUCGUUGUGAGAAUCAACUUCCACCCGUCUGUUCUAAGAGGUAUUCCCACUUCAUCAGGAAGAAAAUGACCCCACAAAUUAUCAAGAAUUAAAAAACCUUUUUUUUUCACAUUCAACUCUGUCAACAGCUCCCCAGUUCUCACCAUCGCAUCAUUUUCAUCCAAAGGUUUUAAAUCCAAAACCUCAGCAAUGCGACCCUGCAAUGCAUGAAUGCUAAAAUCUUGUGACAUAGUAAUCCACCGAACAGGAUGAAACAUGCCUAGUUUAUCGUGAAGCUGAUUAUAGAUGUGUGUAGCCAAAGCUGUCUUUCCCACCCCCCCCAUCCCACAGAUGCCAAUGCAUGAGACCUCAUCAUUCAACAACCCAGACCAGACAGCAUUCAUGUUUCUUUCCAUAGCUUGGCCCACUAGCUUUGUUGUCGGCAAUACAUAUCUUUCAGUCCUACGUUUCUUAUGCACAGGCCUUUUAGAAGAGGGUUGUCUCUCAACAACAGACUGCAUCAAUUCCGGACUCGUGGUCAGUCUACCAAUUCUUAACUCAAAAUCCCUCAUUGAUGAGGAUGAGAUGUUAUUCAAGUUCAUUUCAAAUGACUGAUGUGCUUGCUCUGUUCUUUGUACUCUAGUCUCGGGUUCAUCUGGCAUAAGAACGAUAGGAGCUCUAGGUUCCUCGACAAGCUCAGUCUCCCCCCCAAUCAGAAGACCCUUCCGUUCUCGUUCAUCCGAAAGAGGUUGUUCUUCUUGUUCCAUUUCUAAGCCCCGCAAAGCAGUUGAAGCUGCAUUAAUUCCCUCGUUAUUGCUUGAACUUGGCACACUCUUAUCUACAGGCAUUUUAGAACAGCUUCCUCUCUCAGUAACAGCCUGCAUCCAUUCCCGACUCUCUAUACUAUGAAGAGUGAUGUUAUUCGUAUCCGUUUCAAAUGCUUGAACUGCUGGCUCUAUUCCCAAUCCAGUCACAGGUGCAUCGGGCAUAAGCAUGCUAGGAACCAUGGUCUCCUCAGGAAGCACAAUAUUCUCUUCCCAAAACUCAAAAUCCCUCAUUGAUGAGGAUGAGAUGUUAUUCAUCUGGUGUGCUUGCUCUGUUCGUUGUCUAGUCUCGGGUUCAUCUGGCAUAAGAACGACAGGAGCUCUAUGAAGAGUGAUGUUAUUCGUAUCCGUUUCAAAUGCUUGAACUGCUGGCUCUAUUCCCAAUCCAGUCACAGGUGCAUCGGGCAUAAGCAUGCUAGGAACCAUGGUCUCCUCAGACAGGAAAAACUCUCCCCCAGUUAUCCCAUCCAUCCAUGACAGUCCAUCAUCCAAAAGAGAUUGUCCUUGUUGUUGCAUUUCUAAAUCUUGCGCAGGAUCUGAAUCUGCACUUGGCAUGCUCCCACGCAUUCUGCCAGGAAGCUUAUCAAACGCUGCUCGUUGAACAUCUGGAGUUACUUUUUCACAAAUUUUAACACCACCACCUCCAACUCUUGCCAGAUGAUAUUUCAUCCUUGUAGUGGAAGUACUUCCAGCCAAUGUCUUCUCACAAAAAAUGCACUUCAAUAAACCACCAUCCACUUUCUCAAAAUAACUCUGAAAUGGAUCACUUCCUCCAGCCAUUUUUUCUUCUGUGUCCCUACAUACAGACAUAACAAAGAACUUUCAGAAUAUUGAAUUAAAAUGGAACUUAAACUAAUUGAAAAAAAGAAGAAGCUAAGUUUAAGAUAAAAAGAAAAAUUGAUUACAGGUGUUUCACUGUCUAAACCAAAGUCAAGUUAAACCACUCCAAAGAUCAAAGUGUUCUUUUCUUUUUACUUUCCCAAUAAUUCUACAACUGGUCAUAUCAGUAAUUUAAUAACCAGUAUGUUUCUUUAGCUUAGAAGAAUCAAAGUACAUGAGUUGGAAAAGAAAUGGUAUGAAAUUAGAGCUAAAAUUAAUCAAACUUAAUUACCUGAACAGCAGAUGCAGCAAGAUGUUAUCCAAUUAUUUGAUUAAAUCAGAAGAAAGAAGAUGGACGGGGGAGAGUAAGUGUGUUGGAGACGCCGGACGCGUGAUAGAGCUUCGGCUUGUGUGGUUGUGGAUAAGGAUAGAUUCAGACAGUCAGAGAAGCAGAUGACAGUGAAAAAAAGUAAAAUGGAUUUCUGUCGUUCAUGGAUGUCAUAUGGACAUGUUGUUGGUCUUCCAGGAAGCGGAUCCGGCGAGGGGUGCUCUAGUGAAGGCGUGGGGGUAGGCGGUUGCUGAUGAUAGUCUCCUCGUGUGAUGGACAGCACGCCAACUUUGCAAACGAUGAGAAAGAGCACGAUCCACCACAAAACAGCAGAAGAGAAAGCAGUAGGCCGAGGGAAGAAAAGGGAGCAGAGUCGACCAAGAGAGAAGUAGAGAGCGGUAUCUUCACAAAUGGAGAGGUUUGUGUUUUCUGUAGGUGGUAGAAAAAAGAGACAGAGGAUGAGAGACAACAGAGAGGGAGGCUACCUGUUUGUUUGCUGGUUUUUAAAAAAAGAGUUAAUUUCCAGAAAUAACAAUGAAGUUACUGAUUCAAACAUUGGUCCACCACCCUCAGGUCAAUGAUGAAGAAUUGUAGGGUUCUUGGUUAUUUCUUCUGGUCGAGGAGAAGUCUGUAACAACCUAUCACGGUAUGAAAGAUGCACGUAUUAUAAGUCUCAGAUGGUACAAUUCAAGUUGCCAUUUUGAUAUUAAAAUAACACAUUUCCAGGCCUUAUAUUUAAUAUUUUUAUGCUAAAAAAAAAAAAGCUUAGCGUAUCACAGCCACCUAAUUAGUAUUACCUAUAAACAUAUCAUCUGAUCCCAUCCCAUACAAUUGCACCUGCGGAGUGUGAGGUAGUAAAACAGAGUAUCUAAAAAUUGAAGUAGUUGGUUGUUGAGUCUUGUCAUGUUAUUGAUGAAGAAGUUACUCGUUUCAUGGUGCUCACUAAGUGGGUGAGUUUAUUAAAUUUCUUAGAGCCAAUUACCUGUGUUUUAUAUAUUUUUUAUUUUUUAAAAUAUUUAUCUUCUUUUAAUAUUUUUAUUUUAAGAAAACAUGUAUCACAAGUCACCUAACCUAACCAGUCUUAACUAUGAACAUAUGAUCUUACUAGAGAAUAAUAUAAAUCAUAUACUAGGAUCUCAUCUAAUAAUCUAAAUUAUUGGGUUGAGAUUGUUUUUUAACAUGGUAUCAGAGCUUUGAUGACCAAGUGAUCAUAAGUUCAAAUCUCAUCAUCCCCAUUUAUUUUGAUAAAAAUUAUGCAUAAGAUAAAAUAAACUUGUGCAAGUUUCAAGCCCAAAAAACUUUCACAUGAAAAAAUAUAUUAAAAAAUAAUAUAAAUUAUAUAUUAAAAUUUCAUCUAAUAAUUUAAAUUAUUAAAUUAAAAUAAUUUUUCAAGAUAUGUUAUCCAUCUCAUGUCACAUAUCAUCUCCUUCACUCUGAUGCAACCUGUGAUCAAUUAUUUUAUAUUUCAGUGCUUUGUGACAUCAACAAUGUCAUGUUACUGAUUGAAACAUUGGUCCACCACCUUUAAUUUCUUUCAUGGCAAGACUUUCCCCCCAAUGCGCAAGCAGGUCAAUGAUGACAGAAGGAGGAUGAAAACACAUGAUCUCUCUAGGAAUUCUAUGUACAAUUAAUGCUCGAUAAUCAACUUCUUUUCACGGUUAAAAGAUUAAAGAAUUAAUUUUUAUUAUUAAUAAUUUUUUCUCUUUAAAUAGAGAAUGGCUUUAGAUUAAGUUUUUAUUUAUUCAUAAUUUAUUUAAAUUAUAUUAAAGAAAACAAAUUUCCAGCGCAAAGCACAACAACACACCUUUUCAUUUAUUUUUUCUUAUUUUGUUUCUUUAAUUUAGUUUUCAAUUAUAUCUCUUUUUUUUAAAUAUGUUAGUUUAACUAUUUUUAAAUAGUAAUUAAUCUUUUGGAUGGGUUUUUAAAUUUCAUAAUAUCUCAAAGGGAUUAUUGUAAUUUAUUUAUUAAUUUUUUUUAUAACUAGAUAAGUUAUAUUUGCAUUAUAUGUUUUUAAUGAUGAAAAUAAAAUGUACUUAAUAACCAUAAUAAACCUUCAAGUCUUAAAAUGUACUUAACGACCCUCGAAUCAAUAACGAUAAAUUAUACGCUUCUUAGUUAUUUCUUGUUGAUAAUUUCGCAUCCAUCACAACUUCUAGUCUCUUCUGCAUAGGAUAAUUUAGGGAAUUAGUACACAAAAUUAAAAUAAAUGGUGCAAUGACACAAAAGCAAAAUGGUUUGGUGAAAUAACACUUUCAUUUUGUCGUCCUUUAGAAAUACAACAUUUACUAAAUGUUGUUAUUCCAAAGCACUAUAAGAUUAUUGUGAUGCUUUAGAAUAGUGAUAUUUAGUAGAUGUCGCAUUUCUGAACCGCAAAAAGAUAGUUGUCAUGCUCAACAAAUUGACUUGUUCAUAAUGGUUAGUGAAACUAGUCGAAAAGUUCCGAAAAUAACAAGAAAAAUCACAAAACUAUCAAAAUUAGGGGGCCUCGGUGAUAUUUUUUAUGUCUAAAGAUAUAAUGUUCAUAUGGCACAGUAAGGUUACCCUGGGUAAAAUAGCCUUCAAAAAAUCUUAUAAAAAUUUGAACGCGAUCCAAUAGUGAAAUCAAAAGUUAUGAUCCUUUUGAGAUGUUAUUUUGAUCUGGCAUGACCAUACCUCCUCUUGGGCCUAAACAUGUCUCAUUAGUCCAUAAAUACAUCUGUUAGGCCAUCCAAGUAAUGUUUUUAAGGAAAAUUCUCAUUUAGUUAUGGCAGACCCACACCUGACUACUUAGAAUCACAUGUUAUCGCAAGUCCGAUUAAAAUAACUUUUUUGAGAUUUCUUAGUCUACAAGUUGGACAAAGAUGUAUAUUUUGACUCAUAAAACAUAUUUGAAAUAAAAAAAUUAAUUAAAUUAUGGUUUUGUAUGAAACGAUUGACCAGUUAAUACAUCUAGAUUAAACAGGUCGACUAGAAGAUUUAAGUUUCAUAUUGUCGUGCCUCUGAAGUGCGACAUUAACUAAAUAUUGUUAUUCUAAAGCAGGACAACUAUCUUGUCAUGCGUUUUAAUAUCGACAUUUAGUAAAAUAUCAUAUUUUUGAAGCGCGACAAGUUAAAAGUAAGUUAUUUCAUCAAAAUUUUCUCAAACGGUGUUAUUCCUCUAAAUUUUUAAGUUUACUUUGCUAAUUUGACAAAAAAACAUUCCUUUGCCAUAAGCUUUAAGAGUGAGACCAUGUAAUUAAAAUUCACUUAAUAGAUUCUAGUUUUCUACUAAUUCUAUGCAAUCCAAACAGUUGAAUUUUUGAAUUUUUAAAUAUUUUUUAUUAUAAAAUUUAAAAACAGUUCAGUUUGAUUUUAAUUUUAAAAUUUUUUAAAAAAAUCAAUCCAAACCAAAUUAUAUCAAAUUGAAUCAAAACAAACCAAAUAAAUUUUUUUUAUAAAAAACUAAAGGUAUGUAUAAACUAAAAACUCCAUACAAUUUAAUUUUUUUCAGAAAAAAAUAUUAACAACAGUUGAAUAUUUGUCUUUAUAUUCAAGAAAAAAAUGAUUUUACCCACAGGUUAAAGUUUAUUACUAGUUAUUUUGGGAGGCUCGAAAAUUUUGCUAGAUGUGCAGACUAUUUCCUUAAUAUUAAUGAUUGAUCACAAAGAUAACUUAUGUCCAGUCAUGAGCUGCUAAAAUUUGAACUGCCAUGGUUUAUAAUUAUUUUUUUGGAGAUGUGAAAGUAUGAAUCCUGACCAGUUGCAGUGACAAACUACUGUUUGUUGGGAGAAAUGGCAAAUUAGUGCUAGACAUAUUUACUUGAAUAAUUCUUGAACUUUUCUUGGGCCAUCUGACAUUUUAAUUUAUGAUAGAUUUUCUAAAAUUUAUUUAUGCGGCCUUCUAUCUUAAAGAAUUUGACAAGAAAUGAUCGGUAGAAAUUUAUAAAAAUUUUACUUUUUAAAUUUUGAUUUUUGGUUUAAAUAGAUGUUAUUAAACCUGGUUGGAUACAUCAACUAGGAAUCUAGUCGUUCUCAUCUAAAACUUGGCUUAAACUAGGUUAAAUAAGAGAUUUUGUAACUCGUGAUCAUAUCAUUUUGGUUAAAAUUUAAUUUGAUUAUUAAAGUUGUUUUUCUUAAAGCAAUGACAUUUUAUUUUCUUUUUAAAAUUUUUUAAAUAGUAAACUAAUAUUAUUAUGAAUUCACCGAGUAAACUUUAGUUUAAACUUGAAAAUCUUGAAACAAUUAACUUGAAACUUUGGAUUGAGCCUUUUGAGACCGUGAUCUUGGAUUGGUGGAGUGAUGGGCUUGCCCACAAGUCUUGUGGGUUGAUGGAUAACUUUCAUAAACUUGCAUGUAAAACAAGUUAUUUUUAUCAGAAUUCAGGGUCCUUUUAUUCUUAUGUUAGUAAACAUAGAAAGAGUAAUUUAUAAGAAAGAAAAGAAAAUGAAAAAUAUAGAGAGUUUGUAAAUCGGUGAAGCUGAUGAAUAAACUUGGAUUAUCUAAAUAUUUAAUUAAUAAUUCAAGAUAUUUAUAUACCUCACUUACAUAAUUUCACCUGUGAAGUGUGAUGUAGUAAGAAAGAGUAUCUAAAAAUUCAAGUUGUUUGUUAUUGAAUUUUGUCAUGUUAUUAAUGAAAAAAUUACUCGUUUUAUGGUGCUCUCUAAGUAGGAGAGUUUAUUAAAUUCAUUAGAGCUAAUUACCUGUAUAUUAUAUAUAUUUUUUAUUUUUUAAAAAAAUAUUUAUCUCUACUUAAUAAUUUUUAUUCUAAAAAAACAUAUAUGACAAGUCACCUAACCUAACUAGUCUUAACUAUCAACAUAUCAUCUUAUCCCAUCUCAUGUCACGUAUCAUCUUAUCCUUCACUCUGAUGCAACCUGUGAUCAAUAAUUUAAUAUUUCAGUGCUUUGUGACAUCAACAAUGUCAUGUUACUGAUUGAAACAUUGGUCCACCACCUUUAAUUUCUUUCAUGGCAAGACUUUCCCCCCUAUGCGCAUUUAAAGUAGGUCAGACUACUAUAUGUUAAAUAAUAUUUAUGUAAUUUUAUUUAUUAAAGGUAGAAUAAUUUUUUUAAUUUAAUUAUAAUUUUUUUAGUUUAAUUAAUAUAUUUUAUUUAUAUUUAGAUUAGAAUUAUGCACUCAUAAUAUACAGAUUAUUUAAAAUUUUAAUUUUAUUUUUAUAUUUGAUCUUAAUUAUUUCCACUGAAUUGCCUAAAUAUGAUGAAUAAAGGGUUGGAUUUGCAAAAUUAUUUACACAUUUUAAUUUGUUGAUCGCCAUUUUCUACUGUAUCAUCGACGUUCUUCCUUCCUCCAACCAUUUCCAGCACUAACAUACCAAAGCUGUAAACAUGUGAUUUACAGGAAACAUUCCCGAAGUUCCUCGAAAACACUUUUAUCCUUGGAACACGUUUAUUUUUAUAUUGAAUCAUUACUUUUUUCCCGUUUUAUUUAUUGUAAAAAUAAAAAUAUAGUUCCAUAAUAUUUAUAAUUAUUCUAUUCUCAUUGAAUCAUGGUAAAAAUAAUUGGCCCGUGGCGCGACAUCCUAAGUAGUCUUAUCUAUAAACAUAUCAUGUUAUGCCACGUACUCAUUUAAAGCUUGACACAUUGGUCAAUUAUUUUAUACUGAUUGGGACGUUUAAGAGCCGGUCAAUUAUUUUAUAUUUCAGUGUUUUGUGACAUUAACAAUGAAGUUACUGAUUGAAAUAUUAUUUGUAAUUUGUUUUUAUGAUUUAAAAAUAUUUUUAAAAUUUUAAAAUUUAUUUUUUUUACUUCAAAUUAAUAUAUAUUUUAAUAUUUUUAAAUUAUUUUAAUGCACUAAUAUUAAAAAUAAUUUUUAAAAACUAAAAAAAUAUAUAUUAUUUUACUAUAUUUUUAAAUAAAAUAUUUUAAAAAAUAAUUAUAAUCAAACUUUCAAAUAAACUCAUAUAGUUGCUUUCAUGACAAAGACAUUUCACCGUGCGCACUCAAGUUAAUGAUGAAGAAUUGUAGGGUUCUUGGUAAUUACGCGUCAAUGAGUUGUUUGUGUCCCCAACAUUGGAGGUGCCAUCAUAUUUUAUUUCUUUUUCUUUUUUAAAGAUGUGAGCACGAUAACAUGUGAUUAUUGAAUUGUCGCUGCUGUUUCCUUAUUAUUUUUGAUAUUUUAUUUUUAUUUUUUAUUUUUAUUUUUAUAUUUUAUAUCAAGAUUUUAUUUAUUUUCAGUUUUAUUUUUUAAUUAUAAUUUUUUAUAUUUUUUUAUUUCAGUUUUUAUUCUAUUAAUUUUUAAUUUUUUUAUUUGAUACUUUUAUUUAAAAUUUUAAUCGCUUUCAAUAAAGUUUGUCGGUGGUCAGACACACCGACGCAACCUGUGGUUCAACGACAAAAAUAUAUGGUCUUUCUUUUCUGUUUUUUUCCGUGAUCCGCUACCUUUAAUUUCUUUCAUAGCUGAUCUUUCCCCCAUGCUUACUCAGGUCCAUAAAGUUUGGCUUUUCCCUUUUUCGUAAAAAUACAUAUUUCAUCUUAGAAAAAGAUAAAAAAAAAUUAAUAAUAAAGCAUGCAUUUGAGGUAUUUUUUUUUUCUUUUACACUGAUCAUUUUGUAAUUAUCAUGAUAAUGAGGGAUAUUUAUGUAUUUUUACAUUGAAAUUUUAGUUUUUUAAUUAAAAAAAUUGAUGGCAUGUAUACAUCAUGCACCAAUGAGUUGGUGGGGUCUAUACCAUUUGAAUGACGUGUGUGAUAUUUUUUUGUAGCCGAACUUGACGUUCCAACGUCUCUUUAAAAGUGACAUCAAGUUCUACUUUUUAUAGUGUGGCACGUGAUGAUAUAUGGUUGUCGGAUUGUCCUUUUAUUUUUUGUAUUUUAAUUUUAGUUUUAAUUUUUUAAUUUUGUUCUUAUUCUUUAUAUAAUGAUUUUAUUUAUUUUUAAUUUAAUAUUUUAAUUAUAAUUUGUUAUAUGUUUUUUUUUAUUUCAUUUCAAUCUUUUAUUUUUUUUAUUAAAAUAUUUUUUGAUUUCAAUAAAAAUUUUAAGUGGUAAGACACUCCGCAGCAACCUGUGCUUCAACGAUAAAAAAAUAUGAGUUCUUUUUUUCUUUUGUCAUUGGUUCUCGAGCCACAAAACAAAGAAUCUUUUUCCUUAUGGAAGCAUUGGUCCACCACUCUUAAAUUAUUUCACAGCAAGACUUUUCCCGCAUGCACCCUCAGGUCAAAGAUGAAGAAUAUUUGUAGGGUUCUUGGUUAUUCCUUCUUGUCGAGAAGCUUGUGCCUUGUAGCAAUCUUUCACGGUAUUACAAGGAUGAAAGAAGAAGGAUUAAUGCCAACCUAUUCAUCUCGUUGUUGAUCAACAAGGAAGGAACUUGAUAGAAAUAGACCCUUGAUAUUACUAUCCUAUCCAUCAAAAUCCUUCUAUCCUCCCUGCAAUUCCUUCCAAAUUAUGAGUUACAUUGAUUUUCUUCGCAAUUGAAGUAAGUUAGACAGGAUUGCCUAAAUAUGAUGAAUUAAUAAAUGGUUGGAUUUGCAAAAUUAUUUACACAGUUUAAUUUGUUGUUUUGAUACAUCUCAAACAUAUUAGACCGAUAAGUUUACACAUAAUCCAUGAACGUAUCUCACAGGUCACAACAAUUUCCUUCGUUAUUGCUCACUAAUAUUUAUUACUGAAAAGAGUAACUUAACAGUGGUCUCUAGGGUCUUUUCUAGAUGUUUUGGGGCAGUUUAUUGGGGUUUUUUGUGGCCAUAAAUUAACUUUAAGUGAUGCCUAAUCCUUUGAUCUCCCACCAACAAUCUUUUAGCAAUAUUUUGUUGAAAACGUGUACCUCUGAUCUUACAGUUUUGUUCUUAGUUUUAUUGUCUUUAUUUGUAUUCUAUCAUUUGAGUUUUCAGACUAGUAGGUAAACAUAAAUGCUUCUAGCAACAAUUUCUCUAAGUUUUUUUUUUUAUUGAAUCUAUGAAGAGAAUUUCAAGAAUUUAAUUACAAAUUUAUAUAAACUCUUGUAUUAAAACAAUCAAAUUAUAUUAUAAAAUUAAUUUUGUUAUUAAUACUGUGUUGAACUCAGAAUUUGUGAUCUAAAUGGUUAAUUUGACCAUGGUUUUGAAGAGUUUUUUUACCUUUUUUGAUCCAUAAAAUCCAUAUAUCCAUAAAAUCUUCUAAAUGAAUAAUAAAAAAGAAAAGAAAAGAAAAGAGAAGAGAAGAGAGGAGAAGAAAGAAAGCUAAGCCUUACAACUGGAAGAGACAUUAUCUGCACUGGCGUUGUAGACUGUCGAAAUUCUGAAAUGUUAAUUUCUAUGUAGGAGGUAAAUAGCAUAAAUAAAUAGCAUGACAUCAUACCUUUACUAGGAGGUAAAGGUUCCAAUACCACAAAUAAACAACAAAAGUAUAAACAAAAAGUAAAUUUAAAAUUUUUUAAAAUAUUUUUGAACCAGAAAUACAGACAGUUAGUAUUGCAUUGACAUGGUCUAGAUGAUGACUUGCCAAAAUAAUUUUCAAUUGUCGAUGCUCCAUAGAGUGUUUAAGGCACAAGCCACUCUCUCCCAGUGAAGCAAUGAUUUUUAGUCCAAGUUAUCAUGUGCGUGCUUGAAAGUUUUUUUGUCCCGUAAUUGCAGCAAAAUUUGAAUUUUGCACCUAAAACGAUCGAUAGCAAAAACAAUCUGUAAUUUUUCUUGCAAAGAUCUGUAAAGUAAUUAUAAGAUCUGGACUUGGAUUUAGAACUAGAAAAAUCUUCUAAAUGAAUAAUAGAAAAGAAAAGAGAAGAGAAGAAAGCUAAGCUUCACAACUGGAAAAAACAUUAUCAGCACUGGAUAAAUAUGAAAUGUUUAAGUUAAGUUGAUGCUGAAAUUCUGAAAUGUUUAUUUCUAUCACUCCUUACAUAAAUUGCGUGACGUCAUACCUCUACUAUGAGGUAAAGGUUCCAAUACCAAAAUACAAAACAAUCCCUAGAAAUCAUAAAAUCCUAAUUUCAUCCCCGGAAUAAUAGCAAAUGACUAGAAAUCAUGGAACAUGCUCAACUGUGUUCAACAAACUUUCAGGAUCUACUUCAAUUUUCUUAAUAGAACGGGAAAUAGUGAUCGGGAUCCUCGUUAGCUGCGGGCAAUCACCCACAGUAAUUUCUUCGAGAGAAUCGCAAAGAAGUCUUCCAGAAUAAAUGCUAUUCAAAUUUGGUAAUUUCUUCAAUACCAAAACCCUCAAUUUAUCAAAUGUACGAAAAGGAGAGGAAUGCUCAUCACUUCCCAUUAUCUCCUGCAUGUUGUAACAAUCUUCGACUACAAUCACUUCCAAUCGGCGCAACAACCAUGAUUUUGAAGUUUCAUUAUGUAUCAACCAAGGAGGGAGCAGCACCUUCAUCCCAUGACAUUUAUGUAUCACCAUCUCUCUGAGAUUGAAAAAGACUCGCUCUGAAGGUGCUUCAAAAACGGUUUCUAAGAUUAUCAAACCAUCAAGGUGUAGAAUCUCAAGCCCAUGCCCUCCAAAUACAUAUGAUGGACAUAAGCUUCUCAUGUUUUGACAACUCACAAAAACUACUUUUGUAAUGAAGCACGGGGGCAGAGAAGUUGCAUUGUCAAUCAUGAGGUCAUAAAACCAAGCCUCUUUAAUUAACCCAAACUUCGAUCUUGUAUAAUUUAGAUCUUCGAGUGAAGAGAAACAAGGUCGUCCUACAGUAACCUUGUAUGCACUUAGUGAAAAUCGCCGUCCACCACAGAAAUAUCUGAAAUCAUCUAGAUCACGGAAGUUGCAUUCCAAAGUUUCCAAAUCAUAUAAUGUGGAAACUUCAUCUCCUCUAACUGAGAGAACAACUUCGGAUUUCUGAUGAAGCUUGAGGAACUGUAAUUUUGAGAGUUGGGGUAAAAUACCCGACCGUAAAACACGCACCCCACUUCCAUCAAGAUUAAGAUACCUGAGAUCCUCCAGCCUUUCCAUUCCCUCGGGCAAAUCUUCAAGUCCAGUGUAACUGAGAUCCAACUUCUCCAAUGCCUUAAGCUUUGCUAAUGAUGGUACAUAACUCAGCUUUGCACACCAUCCCAGCAACAAUGCAGUGAGUCUCGUUAGAUGAGAAAUAGAAUCCGGCAACUUCUCUAUAUCUGUGUCGGAAAGAUCAAGAACCUUGAGUCCGAUGAGGUGCUGGAAAAAAUAAUCCUCGACCAAAUUCAAUUUGUAGUUUCUGCACAACAAUAAUGUUGAGAGACGGGGGCACGUUGGUGAAAAGCCUGUUGGAAUAUUCUCGAUUCUAUUUUCCAUGAGUGAAACUCUUAACAGAUCCUCUCUCCACAAUCUUACACCGGGUAAUUCUGUUAGCUGUGCACCUGCUUGAACCAUAGCCCCCCCACUUUCGUUCAAUAUUUUCGAAGCCAUAUCCCAAAUCAAAUCAUGCAUCUUGACAUAUCUGCAAUCUUCAUCGUCCCUGGAACCUUCUAACAAGCUGGCAUCUUCAAGCUGAUCAAGCAUGGUAUGGCCCUAUCAAAUCGUACAUGCCUUCGCAUUCCUUUGACUAUACCUCGUCAAAUCAUACUCUAUCAAGUCCUCUCUCAAGAUGAUCUUGCCUUUUGGAAAUAGUGUGAUAUGUAAGAAGCACUUUUGCAGUGCUGAAUAGGUCAACUGGGGAUAGCUAAAUUCCAACACUGGAAAUACUUUGGCUUCCAUCUCACCUGGUCCAUCUUCUAAUCUUCUCAGUUUUAGCAAUGCAUCUCUCCAAACAUAUUCAACAUACACUCCCUUCAUGCAUCGAGCCAUUGUCACGAUUCCAAGAGGCAAACCAGCACACUCCUUCACAAUAGACUCUGCGAUCUCAGGAUAGGGUGCACCACCAGGCCCUAAUCUGUAUUUGAACAGAUCCCAAGCCUCACCCUCAGAAAGAGGCUCCACUUUGAUUAUCCUUUGGCAAUCCAUUUUUCGACAUAUCUCCGGUGAUCUCGUUGUGAGAAUCAACUUCCACCCGUCUGUUCUAAGAGGUAUUCCCACUUCAUCAGGAAGAAAAUGAUCCCACAAAUUAUCAAGAAUUAAAAAACCUUUUUUUUUCACAUUCAACUCUGUCAACAGCUCCCCAGUUCUCUUUGGUGUGGUCUAUAUAAUCAUCAUACAAAGAUGUUCUGUAUUGUGUUUAACUAUCAGAUUUCCACUCUCUUUGGAAAUCAUAGCAGUUAGCGAGGAUGGUACAUCCUCCAUGAUAACUGUAACAUGUUCUACAUAUUAAUUAUCGUAUUUGUCACCAGCAAGAGUAAUAUUUUGGCUGCAAAUUAACAAGAGACUAUCAUAGGGAUUAUAUAAACAAGUUGAUGCAUGAAAAGACGAGUCUCUAUUUAUAGGUAGCCACUACAGGUAGCUUCGGAGACCACUAAUACAAGGUAAGUCUUGUUAGUAAUUCCACAACCUCUACAUUAGAAAUAAAUAAUCUGUAAAUAUUUACUUUCCUAUUGUAAUGACUACCUCAUAUGAAGAUAACUUACAAUGUAGUAAUUGAUUCCUAAUAGAAAGGAAAGUCUGGAAUCCUACCUGUGUAAGAAAUUCUGCUUGUAUAAGAAAUUCAACUUGUAGAAAUACAUGCAGAGAUCAAUAAUAAUAUAGUUCCAGCAGAUUCAAUCCUCUUUGUCUUUUAAAUUUUUUAUGGUAUCAGAGCUUGACAAAAAAUCCUGAUCCACUAUCACAUCCUAAAACUCUUCCAUUGAUGUUUCAAAGGCAAAUCUCUCAAGCCCUUACUUUAAUUUUAGUAAAAAAAAAAAAAUUUAAAUUUAGGCAAAACACCGUUUGAAACGCAAUGCCAAACGGUGGUGUCUUAGUGACAGUUUAUGCAUGCCUUGACAUGUCUUGCAGAGGAAACAGAAGCACCCUACUUUGCAUUCAGCUGGUUAAACGACAACAACACGUUCCAAACAGAAGAUGCUUCAACUAAACUGACCUAAGAGAGCUUAGACAAACAUCUCGAUAGACUUUGUUGAAGGCUUCAAAUGGUAAAUCUCGAUAGACCUAAGCAAUUUUUAUUCACAAAGAUAAAAUCUGGAAAGAACUAUUUAAGAUAUUAGGGGUGAAAUUGCUUUUGAGUUUAGCUUAUCACCCACAAACUGUUAGACAAUCAAAAAACAGGUUAGGUUUUUUUUUUUUUUUUUUUUUUUUUUGUGUUUCAGCACCUCGAUUUUGCUUACUGUAGCUCCUGUUGUUGCCCCUUUUUUUAUUUUAAUAUAGCUGGUUUUUUCAAACUUGGAUGCAAUUUUUAAUUUUUGCUUUUCCCAGGAUCGAAUUAGGUUGCUCGCUAUCUUGCACGCCCUUUCUUUUCCUAUGCUUGUUUUCCUGCAGAUUGGUUGUUUUGUAGCAACGGUAUUUCACCUCUUUUUGUUCGUCUCAACAAAAAGAAAAUAUAUAUUAAAAAAAUAUUUUUUAUAUAUUUUUUAAAAAUUAUUUUUAAUAUCGAUAUAUUAAAAAUUUGAUUGUUAUUAUUAAUUAUGAUGUCUUAUCACAUCAUUGGGGAGAGGUGAGUUUCCUUUUAGGUGACAUGUGGGAAAAAAAGUAACCAUGGACGAGAAAUGAGGUGCCUUGCUCUACAUAUAGAGAAUGAAUUUGGCGUGCGUUAGUGGGUGGUUUGUGACAUUGUUAAAACUUCAUAUGUUUAGAGGUUGGUAUUAGGUCAAGACCCAAAAAACAUGGUGGAAAACCCAUUUGGGCUUUGUCUGCAGGCAUUCAAGGUAGCAGGGGAAUCCAAUUAAUGAAUUGUUAUUGACUUAAUCUCUAUGUUCUUCAUGGCGGGAUUUUAGUUCAGAAGCUUUUUGUUAACUCAGAGUUGUCAUGUUCAAUAUAGAAGCGUUUGAACUGCUCAGGCACUUCAAAUGAAGAUGAAAGUGCGGAGGAAACUUCAUGGAUAGAUUGCAGGUAUGAAGACAUUUACAGCUGAGAAUUGAAGCUCGAGGGGAACUACUUGCAGUCAGUGUUGAAGAAAGCGCAAGAAACACUGCCUAAACACUUCAAAAGACAGGAGGCUCAAGCUUAAAGGAUGCUAGAUGUUAUCUAAUUGAUUUUUACUAGAGAUUUUCAGAUUGAUUCGCUUAAUGGAAGAACUUGCUUGCACUGUCCUGCUUAUUAUGGCCAUUUUGAUUACCUUCAAGCUACUCUUUCUGCUGCCAUCAAUCCAACCUGUUACUGUUUCUUGUUAACUAUAUCUUCAUUCUAAUUGAUUUCGCUUUCUCUUCUCUUCUGUUUUUUUUAUCAGAGUUAUCUCUGCAUGGACAAUGAACUUCGGGUGAGCCCAACAGGUUACAGCCAAGUAAACAACGAGAAUGCAUGCUCCCGCCAGCCUGCAAAAUCUAGCACAAAGCAAUCGUUUGGGUCAUAGUCUCCUUAGCCCACAGCCAAUCUCGAAAAGGAAUGAUUCUUUUAUUUAUUUUUUGUUUUUUGCAUUUAGGACUCUCAUUUCUUCGUAUGUUUACUUUGUUUAAUUUUUUAAUCAAAGCUAAAGCUCGAUUGACUUGAUCAUGAUGAUCGGAUUCACAGUCUAAAAGCCCUCAUCAACAUAAAUUAUCAUUUUAAAUUUGUUUUUUUUUAAUAUUUAUUUUUGUAUCAGAUUUUUUAUAUCUGUAGCCUUGCAUAAUUUUUUUUUUAAUUAUUAUUCAAUAAAUUUUAUGUGUGUUAGUUUCUAUUAUAAAUAUUAUGUUUUUUUUAUUACAAAUUUAUUUUGAUAAAGAGGUUCAUUAAACAUAAUUAGGUAAAUUAUCCGUGUUGCGAUAUUAGAUAUCCUGAUCUUUAUUUUUUGCUUGGUUUUCUCAAUUUUAUUUUUGUUUAUUGUUGAUGAAUCUUUUUUUCAUUGCUUUACACAAUUGGUUAUUGAUUUAUUUAAUUAGAUGCGUGCAUAAGCUUUUCAAUUAACAUCUAAGAGUUUUUUUUAGUGUAAAAAAACAUGUUGAAUAAUUUUGUAUAUUCAUUUUUUUAUAUUAUGUUUUGAUGUUUAAGAUUUGAUGCUUAUUCUUAUGAAUUUUUUUUUUAAUAUUUUUUCCCUUGAAUCUUUUAUAAAAGUUUUAUUGUUUUUAGUUUCACCCUUCAAUUCAAGUCUAUAGUGUAUUUUUUUUUAUAUGUCUUUGUUCUUUUGAUUUUUGUCAUUUUGUUAAUGUUUUUAUUUUUUUCAAUUCAACUCUCAAAUUUAAAAUUUAUUGUUGCCGUUUGAUUUAUUUUUUAUUGCAAUUUUAACACUCAUUAUUUUUAUUGUAUUUUCUUGAUUUUGAAUUUUUUCUGUGAUUUUAACCCUCACACUUUUUUCAUGUAUAGUGCUUUCGAUUUUAUAACCUGGGUCACGGUUUAAAAAGUCAACAAUAAUUGAUUUUUUUAUCUUUUUUUUUUAUUUCUCUUUCUACGCAAUUAUCUUAUUUUCAUUAGUUUUUUUUACUUUAUUAACAAAUAAGAUCAUUGAUAUAUUUUAAGAAUAUUAUGAAGAUAUAGUUCCGUAAUAUUGGCAAACUCAUCUUUUACAUUGAAUCGUUGUUUUUUUUUUUUUCCGUUUUAUUUGUUGUCGAUAUUUUAUUUUCUAAUGAUAUUAUUAAAUUAACCAAGUCAAUUGAACUCAUUAGAGCCAAUUACCUUAAGGCUUUAUUGUUCUUCACUUGUGCAACUAGGAUGUUUAUAAUAUGUUUUUUAAGAUUCUAAUAGCACCACCAUAAUUUAGAUGCACUUCUAAAUAAAGUACUCAAAUAUAAAAAAAUAUAGAGUUGUUAACUAAUGUUUUAAAUAAAGUAAAAAUACAUGUUUGACCUUAGAAAAUACAAAAACAUAUGGUAUGCAUCUGAGGAUUUUUUUUUUUCCUUUCACACAUCUUUUUUGUAAUUAUCAAGGUCAUGGGGGACAUUUAGGUAUUUUUAUAUUGAAAUUUUAAUUUUCUUUUAAAGAAAGUUGUUGGCAUGUGCUCAUUACGGGCUAAUGAGUUGUUGGCAUCUGUGUCAUUUGGAUGGUGUGUGUGGCACCUCCUGGUGGUCAAACCUGACUUUCCGACAUGUUUUUGGAGGUGCCACCAUGUCCUUCUUUAUGGUGUGGCGCGUGAUGGCAUAUGGUUGCCAACUCUUGGUGAAGACGUCUCGCUGGCAUGCGGCCUGCGCUGCUUCUCUUAGGGACAGAGGAGCUAAAAGGAUCAGGAGGCUUUGUUAAGUUUUCUCCUUCCCCUUCAAGCAUUUGGACAACAGUUUUCAUGGAAGGACGCUCUGCUGGGUUCCACUGAAUGCACCAUAGCCCCACAAUUGCUAGUUUCUUCGCAAUUUUAGCAUCUUCUUCUCCAUCGAUAUGAAACCGCAGGUCUUCUUCCUUUUCUAAGAGAUUAUAAAUCCAUUCCGGGAAGUAUAUCUGGUCGCCAUUUUCUGCUGUAUCAUCGACGUUCUUCCUUCCUCCAACCAUUUCCAACACUAACAUCCCAAAGCUGUAAACAUCUGAUUUAUAGGAAACAUUCCCGAAGUUCCUUGAGAACACUUCUGGGGCAAUGUAGCCAACAGUCCCCCUAGCAGUCGUCAUGGAAAUAGCACUUUUAUCCUUGGAACACAGCUUUGCCAUCCCAAAAUCGGCGAUUUUGGGAUUGAAUUCGUUGUCAAGCAGGAUAUUCUGUGGUUUGAUAUCAAAAUGGAGGAUUCUUUGAUCACACCCCUGGUGAAGAUAUUCAAUCCCCUUGGCUAUGCCUAGAGCAACACGAUUCAACCUUUCCCAGCCAAGGAAAUGGUUCCUUGAGUCUGCUGAGGUUAUGAACUUCUGUAAUGAACCAUUUGGCAAGUACUCAUAAACCAGAGCUCGUCUAAAUCCAUCAGCACAGAAACCGAUCAAGCGAACAACAUUGACAUGGUGGAUCCUUGCCAUUGUUCCCACUUCAUUGAUGAAUUCCUCCCCUUUUCCUAUGGAAUUAUUGAGGAGCUUCACAGCUACAGCAAUUUCAUUGGUUAGCUUUCCUUUGAACACGGUUCCAUAAGCUCCUUGGCCCAAUUCAUCACCGAAUUGAUUUGUGAUCCUCUUGAGGUCAGCGUAGGAGUACCUAGUGGGAUUCAGUGAUCUGUAAUCAUCCAAAAACAUAUCAACUCUCGCUUGAUAUUCUCUUUGUGUUUUAUCGUUGCUAUAGGCGCGGUAGAGUGCAGUAAUCACUAUAGCAAAAAGGAAGAAUCCUAAAAUCACACCUGCAUAUCAACAUUCUGAGUCAGGAAAUUCUGUUUUUUGGGACGUGAUGUAUUGAACCAAGUGUAAAAUUGAGAUGGAGAUUUGAGCUGACUACUAACCAGUAAUCAGUAGCUUUCGCCGCACAUCUGUAAGGGAUUGAAUACUUAUUAGCUUCUCCCUUUGAUGCAAAUGGUAAAAUCAUGAAAGCAACAAAAACGGAAAGAGUUUCUUUAUUAAUUUGAAAAACCCUUAUUGUUUUUUAUUUACGUAUUCAAAUGCCAAUUAUUAAUUUGAAAAAAGGAAGAAAGAUAGAAAAGCAUACCUUUAGUGUGCGGAAGAAUGCUGUAGCAUUCAGCUUCAGAAGAUCCACAAGUUGGAUUGGACCAAGACAUAGUAAGAACAUAAUUUUCUUCAAGCAAGAUACUAUAUGAAAUUCCAUAAAUGUUGUACAUCUUGGUACAAGAUAACAAAUCAGAGUAACUGAUGGGAAUACUUGAGUAAACGGCAUAAACUUCAUGCUUAAAAGUACUCAGACAUGGGAUUUUAUCCAUGUACGAAGGAGGCCUUUUCUCACUAGAAAGAGAACAAUUGAACAAGGUCCAACCAUACGGCAAAUCCUUCUGAAUUUGGAAGUGAGAAGCCCCUAAACUGAAGUUUAAACGUUGCCUUGGAAAGCAACCUUGAGGAUACCUUGCAUAAAUGAGUUGAUGUCCAUAGUCAAUUCCUUCGAUGUGGAGACUCAAUCCAGUUGGCAGAUUAAGCACUGUGCUGUUGUCCUCUGAGCAGGAUAGAUCAAACCCAGGAUAGCCACAGUCUGGUUGUUUGUCCUUGAUUCGGAAAGGAAAUCGGAUGUCAGGGCCACGGUUUCCACAUGAUCCUGUGCAGUUCAAGCUUGCUACAUGGCCUGCAAGGAAGACAAUGAAAAAGAAGAACAAACACGUAACCAUUUCUGAUGAAUAAUUCAUCAUCUCCACACUCCUCCUACGAUUUUAUCUGCAUGUGCUGAUAUAGUUUUGGCCUUUCAGAAAACUCAUGGAGUCCUUAGACGGGCGAUUCCUUUACAGAAUUUAUUUACUCCAUCGAUCUAGUGUGAUGCUCGUCCCUUUGACAUUCCUCCACUCACAAACAUGUGGGAUCCAAUUAUUCCGUUUUAUUUAGGGGUGAGCAUAAUUUCAAACGGUUUGGUUUGGAUAAAAAAAUAUAUAUAACAGAAGUUUUUUUAAAAAAAUAUUUAGUUCAAACGGUUUGGUUUGGAUAAAAAAAAUAUAUAACAGAACUAAUUUUUGUUAAUUGUUUUUUGAAUUGAAUCAAAUAAAAGAACCAAAUUAAUUGGUAUUUGUUUUUUUUUGUUUGAGUUAAUGGACCUUUAGUUGAGCAAUUUUGACAAGUUUCAGGGGCACUUGUUUACACCGCCUCAUUAUAUUUUAUAAAAAAAUAUAUUUUUUAAAAUUAAGUUUUUGUGUUUCUGAAUUGUUUUAAUAUGUUAAUAUUACAAAUAAAUUUUUAAAAAUAAAAAAAUUAUUUUGAUAUAUUUCUAAGUAAAAAAAACUUUAAAAAACAAUCACUACCACAAUGUCAAACACUACUUAAUUUAAUGAGUUUUGAGCUUAUAACAUACCUUUAGUUUCUAAUAAGUUUUUUUUAUUUGGUUUGGAUUAAUUUUUUAAAAAAGAUUUAAAAUUGAAACUCAAUUGAAACGUUUUUAAUUUUUCUAACAAAAAAAAAUUAAAAAUUCAAAAAAUUGUUUGGUUAAUUUUUGGUCAAUUUCUAUGAUUAAUGUUCUCAUCCCUAAUAAUAAUAAUCUCUCUAUUUACAUAGUAUUCACAUUGUAUAUGGUAAUAUGUUUAAUUUGGAAACCUAGAAUUAGCCAAAAAAAACUAGAUUCUAUCGUAUGAAUUUUAAUUACAUGAUCGCACUUAUGCCAAAAGACUGUUUUUUUUUUUUUUGUCAAAUUAGCAGAGUAAAUAUAAAAAUUCAAGGGAAUAACACCGUUUGAGAAAGAUUUAACAAAAUAAUUUACUUUCAACUUGUCACGCUUCAAAAGCAUGAUAUUUACUAAAUGUCGUUAUUCCAACACAUGGCAAGUAGUUGUCCUUUAGAAUAGCAACAUUUAGUAAAUGUUGUUAUUCUGAAGCAUGACAAUAUGAAACUCCAAUUUACAGGCUGACUGGUUUGAUUCAGUUAUAUUAAUCGGUUUAUUGUUUCACAUAAAACGAUAAUUUUAUAAUUUUGUUUCUUCCAAAUAUGUUUUAUGAGUUAAAAUAUAUAUCUCUAUCCAAUUUGUAGACUAAAAAAUCUCAAAACGUUAUUGUAAUUGGGCUUAUGAUAAUGAGUGAUUCUAGGUAGUCAGAUGUAAGUUUGACAUAACUAAAUAAGAAUCUACUCCAAACAAAUUACAUGGAUGAUUGUAUUUAUGGACUAGUAAGAUAUAUCUAGACCCAAGAGGAGGUCUAGUCAUGCAACAUUUAAUAAAUGUUGUGUUUUUAAAGCGCAAUAAGGUGAAGUGUGCUAUUUCAUAAAUUGUUUUUGCUUUUGUGUCAUUUCAUCAUUUAUUUUAAUUUGUGUGCUAAUUUCCUAAUUUAUCCUAUGCCAAAAAGGACUUGGAGUUGUGAUGGAUGCAAAAUUCUCAACAAAAAAUAACUAAGAAGCAUAUAAUUCAUCGUCAUUGACACGGGGUGGUUGAGGGGAAAAGUCUUGCUAUGUGAAACUUCGAGUGACGGACCAAUGUUUCCAUCAAUGACUUAAGUGUCUGAGAAGGAAACGAAAAUAAUGGGGCUUCGACAAGUCCUUUAACCUCUCAAGCAGUAUUUAAGUCCUGUUUGUCUACAUGGCCAACUCGCUAUCAGUCGAGAAGGGAGGAAAGUAAAGUAAAGGGCUCUUUCCUGUUGUCUUGCUCGAGAUACCGUGAACGAAACGGUCCAUAUUUUUGUCAUUAGACUAGAGGAGGUUACACGAGAUUGUAGCUCUCCUACGCGAAACUUCACAUGAGGACCCAUUCAUUUAUUUUAUGUUAUUGGGACAAUUGUAUAUUUACAAGACGCGGCACUAGAGUUGACUUGGUUAAAAGUCUGAGUUAAUAUAAUUUUUUAAAAAAUUAUAUUAUAUUUUUAUAUUUUUUAGAUUUGAUUUAUAUUAUUUUGAUUAUUUUUUAUUUUAUCUGAGAUAAUUUAUGAAAUUAUAUUUUUUUUUCAAUUUCAUUCUCAUUCAAAUUUUUAAUUUGUAAGAUUUGUUCCUCGUUAUUUUAAUAAACUUGAGAAAAAUAAAAUAUUAAUAAGUUAAUUUCUAGCUCAUUUUCCAUGACAUAACAAAAUACUAGAAAGUAUUUUCCAAUUUAUUUUUCAUUACACUACCAAACAUCAAAAAAUAAUUCACUUUCCCGGAAUUCGCUUUCCAAAAAAAACUACUUUCCAGCAAACAAACGAAGCCUAAAUGAAUACAAUAUUAAGAUUAAGAGUCAUAUUGUCUUAAAACAUCUAAUGUAUUCUAUAUUUUAUAUUAUAAACUUAUCUUAUCAUUUUGAAAAUGAUUUAGCCAUACUAACAUCUAUACAUAUAUAUAAUACCUCCAUUACAUCCUACACAUUUUUUUAUUUUUACACCACAAAGGUUUUCAAAGAAAAUAAAGACAUAUAAAUGUUACAUUUUAAAAUGAUAAUUCAUAAACAAAAAAUCCUACAUCUAACGAUCUGCAUCAUCUCGUGGUGUAUGUAUUUCAACAAUAACCACAUUAAUUAAUUUACUCAAUAUCUUAGUCAUAUAUUAAUUAUUUUACUCUUAACUUUUAAAAUUUAAUACUUCUAACUUCAAUCAAUAAUUUACAUAAUCUUUUCAAAAUUUAAAUAUCCAGCUAACUCAUCUCGAUUACCAAUAAUUCUAACACUUUCAUAUAAUUACCCACAAAUUUGGUUAUUCUUCCUCGGUUACCAGUAAAUCAAUAAUUCCAUCUAAAUUACCCAUCAUCUAGUUAACUACUUUUGUUUGCCAAUCAAUCUGGUAAUUCCAUAUGAAUUACCUCAUAUCCAGUUAACCUCUUUGUUAACCAAUAAACCGGGUAAUUCUCUUAAUUACCCAAGAAAUUCGGGUAACCCAUUUUGGUUGCCAAAAUCAAUCCGGUAAUUCCAUAUGAAUUACCCAGCAUCCGACUAACCUUUUUUGUUAGCCAAUUAAUAAUUCCGGUAAUUUCACAUAAAUUACCAAUAAUUCUCAUUUGUAAUAAUCACUCAAUUUAUUCAUGUGCUUCAUUCUUUUAACAUCAAUUAAAUAAACAAAUAUGUGGUUGUAUGUGAAAUGAUGAUGUUAUGUUUGAGAAUGACUUUUUAUCUGAAUGAAUUAAAAAACAUUACAUGCUUUGCAUUUCGGCACAUAAGAAAAAUAUUAAUGAACUAAUGAUAUAAUGACAUUUGAUUGAUUUAGGAGUUGUGUCUGGAGCUGGUUAUCAGAUAAGAGGAGUUGGGUUAUCACGAGCAGAAGGUAGGUGAUUUGUCACCUUAUUUUAUAAUUAUUAGUUUUCCUUAAAGAUUUAUGUUGUUUAUUUAAUUAAUGUUAAAAGAAUAAGCAAAUGAAUAAAUUGAGUGAUUAUUACCAAUAAAAAUUAUUGGUAAUUUAUGUGAAAUUACUAGAAUUAUGUAAAAGAUCGCUUCAACUUUUUUAACUUGGUUGCUCUUUCUCAACUAGACAACCACUUCAACUAAUUUCUAGAAAUCAGUUUCGAUAUUUUCACUAUCUUUCCCUUACAACCGAAGGAAGCAUAUCUUGGAAUAUCUCAUGGAUUUGGACUGGAUUGGGUGUUUUGGUUUCUGAUGAGAUGCUCCAUGAAAAAUAUCAGGCUCGCUGGAUGUCGUUGUUUGUGGUAUUGACAGUUGAUGACUUUUUUUUUUUACUUUUCAAAGUUAAUGAUUCUGACAUUUCGAAGGAGGUGGGAAAUUAUCUUCGUCUGUGAAGUAGUGUUGAAUGUUGGAUCAAUAACUCACUGUCUGCUUUGCUACUAUUCCUAUCCGAUGACUCUGACAUUUCAAAGGACGACCAGGUAGGGGUGUUCUCCUUCACCUUUCAUUGCAUUAUCAGUAGCUUCCACUCCGAAAUUCAAUAGUUUUUGUUGGAGAAAAAAGAAAAGGAAAAAAGAAGAAUAGUUUAUGCAAAAUUGCGUAUACACUGUGUAUCACUUCAGCCUUCCCCAUGUUUAGAGGAAUGAACGUCCUUUUUGCUUGCUACAUAGCUUUUCUUUUACAGCUAUUAGUCUUCCAAACUUGCCAUUCUAGCAACUUCACUGCUCAUUGUGCUCCUUCUUCAUGCGGCAAUAUCCAAAACAUAAGCUUCCCUUUCAGACUAGACACUGAUCCACAAAGCUGCGGAAACAAUAAUUAUACUCUGAUUUGCGAGAACAAUAUUGCUACAGUAUUAUAUUUGUAUUCAGGUAAAUACUACGUGCAGGCAAUCGACUACGGUAACUUCACAAUCCGAGUGGUAGAUGCUGGUGUACAUGAUAAUUCCUGCUCCAUCCCUCGUUAUUCUUUGGCACCUGAUGACUUCAGUGACGGAGAUCCAUACACAUGGUAUAACUACAAGCAGGUGCCGCCAGGAGUGAGUGAAAGUUUCGUGUACUACUGGGGCCACUGGUUCUUACCUCCACUAUCACAGCCUAUGAUUUUCAUGAGCUGUGAAAAUACGGUGAAUUCUCCUCUUUAUGUGGACACGGCUCCCUACGGCCUUAAGUAUGGAUCAGGAAAUUAUUCCAACUCUUCUCUUGUGAGUCAUUCGAAUUAUGUGGCUCUUGGGGGCAUGACUGCCUCGGAUUUGAUGGAACUGUGCAGCAUAGAGAAAAUAUUUUUGCUUCCAAAGAAGAGCUACACAUACAAGUCCUUUGAAGAAAUACACAGUGACCUGGCAUACGGGUUUGAGCUUUCAUGGUACAACAUCUACUGUGAAAAUUGCACAAGGGGUUGCUACAUCGACAGCUCAGACCGUCGUCAAUGCAUUAGCAGCUGUAUGUAACACUUGAUGAUUAAGUUGCAUCACUUUGAUUCAUAAGACCAUAUAUAACUUGUGAUUUGAGGUGGUUUCAUAUAUUUUCUCUGGCUUACUUUUCAAUUUUCCUUUUUUUCGGGCAUUAGCACAAUAUUGCACUGUCCCCAGAUCGAUGUUCAUGUACAAAUUCUGUGCAUCCAUUACCUGUGAAUUCUACUAUAGUGGACUGAUUAUGAGAUUCAUUCAUGUUCAUAUUGUAAAAUAUUCUGACUAUAAUGUGGUUGAAGGUAGUUGGACAGAUUCAUUGGUCUUUUGCAAUUUCAGGAUUGACACAGUGAAACGUUUGGUUCAUCUUAACUUGACCAUGGAUACACAUUAAUUAGUUCAAGGCACAUUAUUAAUUAAAUUGUGUGUGCUCUUAUCUAUUUUCUUUCGCAUUUACUGUUGCGUAUACCAUUAGAACUCUUUGUAAACCUAAAUUCUCGACAGAUUUUGGUGAAAGCUUCUGGGAAACACUACUCCUCGCAGUGAUAGGUGCGAAUUCUCUUUCUGCAUCUCACCUUGUUUGUGUAUUCUUAAGUGUUUCUUCAAACGACUUAUUUGUGAAAUAAGGAUUGUUGUUUCUUGAAUAGUAAUUGUAAUUUUGUUCACCAUUUUCUGCAGAUCCCCUAUAUAUCCAUUUUAUUUGGUAAGAGAUUCCAUCAUUUCUUUAGUUUCGCAACAAAUUUCUAGUGGAGACAACAAAUAAGAUCACAAAACUUGAUUGUUUUCUGGAAAUUUCCUACACAGCACUGCUUCAUGGGCCAAAAGUUGUUUGUGGGACUCCAUGUGUGAUUAUAUUUUUGAUCUACAAAUUGCGAAGGAGACAUUUAUCAGCAUAUGAUAUAGUUGAACAAUUCCUACAGGGUCAGAAUAACCUUAUGCCAGUAAGGUAUUCCUACUCAGAUAUCAAGAAGAUUACUAGAGGUUUCAAGGAGAAAUUAGGUGAAGGAGGCUUUGGUACAGUUUACAAAGGAAAGCUUCGCAGUGGACAUUUUGCAGCAGUAAAAUUGUUGGGAAAAUCAAAAGCUAAUGGACAGGAUUUCAUAAAUGAAGUUGCUACCAUAGGAAGGAUUCACCAUACUAACGUGGUGCAGCUAAUUGGUUUUUGCGCUGAAGGAUCAAAGCGAGCUCUUGUAUAUGAUUUCAUGCCUAAUGGAUCUCUUGAUAAACACUUGUUUACUUGAGAAGGAUCAAUCUCUUUAAGCUGGCAAAAACUGCAUCAGAUUUCCCUUGGAGUGGCUCGUGGUAUCGACUAUCUUCAUUUAGACUGUGACAUGCAAAUACUUCAUUUUGAUAUUAAGCCUCACAACAUUCUUCUUGACGAAAAUUUCAGUCCAAAAGUUUCUGACUUCGGGCUCGCUAGGUUGUACCCCACUAAUGGCAGCAUAACAUCUCUUACUGCAGCAAGGGGCACCAUAGGAUACAUGGCUCCUGAACUGUUCUACAAAAACAUUGGACGUGUCUCCUAUAAAGCUGAUGUAUAUAGCUUUGGAAUGCUGCUAUUGGAAAUGGCAGGCAAAAGGAAGAAUGUAAACGCAUUGGCAGAAAAUUCAAGUCAAAUCUACUGGCCAUAUUGGGUUCAUGACCAAGUAUCUGAUGGAAAGGCCAUAGAAAUCGGAGACGAUGCCACGGAGGAAGAACGUAAGAUCGUCAAGAAGAUGAUUAUGGUUGGAUUGUGGUGUAUACAAAUGAAACCCAUGGAGCGGCCUACAAUGAAGAAUGUUGUGGAGAUGCUUGAAGGAGAUUUGGAAAACUUGCAAUUGCCUCCUAAGCCUGUCUUCAAUCUAGAUGUGACGCCACCAAACAUUGAAGGAGAGUCAUCAUCGUUGUCAGGUGAUUCUACCGCAUCAACCAGUUUGAUUGAAAAUGCAUACUAAGUUAUAUGAUGUGGAAUGCUCUGCUUACAUGCAGGGAAAAUGAUAGAAUAAUGGUGCUUUCGGACUUGGUUGUGAUGAUUUAGUCUGCAACACAUUAUGAUAAUUUGCAAUACUUCCUUUUAUCUGAUUUGUGUUUAGCUAAUUUAGAGUUCAAGCUGCGGCUUGUUUCUUCGGUGUGGUCUAUAUAAUCAUCAUACAAAGAUGUUCUGUAUUGUGUUUAACUAUCAGAUUUCCACUCUGUUUGGCAAUCAUAGCAGUUGGCGAGGAUGGAACAUCCUCCAUGAUAACUGUUCCAUGUUCUACAUAUUAAUUAUCCUAUAUUUUUCUCCAACAGAAUAAUAUUUUGGCUACAAAUUAACAAGAGACUAUCACAGGGAUUAUAUAAACAAGUUUAUGCAUGAAAAGACGAGUCUCUAUUUAUAGGUAGCCACUACAAGUAGCUUCGGAGACCACAAAUACAAGUCAAGUCUCUCUAGUAAUCCUUCCACUAUAAGUAGCUUCGGAGAUAGAAAAUAGCGAUUUAUUUGCUAUCAUAGGGAUGAUUCUGAACAGAGGGGCUUAAUUUCAUUUUCUUCCACCAACAAUGCCUUCGUGUCAAUGUUCAGCCCCAUGAUAAUCGAUCUAGCGUCACCAUUUGCACAUUACCAUAUCUUGCAUAAGCCACGAGGAACCAAUCACAACAAAACAGGAUUGAAAACCAUGACCAUAACGGGUGCUGUGAAAUGAAUAUUGAAACAGAUGGGUGAAUUUGAUGCAGAAAAGUAGAGAGGAGACAAUGAAGCUUGCUUACCGGUCAUGGCAUUUCACCAGGGAGCUCUGCUUCUUCAAAAAUGCUCAACUGUGCUCAACAACCUUUCAGGAUCUGCUUCAAUUUUCUCAAGAGAAUGGGAAACAGUGAACGGGAUCCUCGUUAGCUGCGGGCAAUCACCCACAGUAAUUUCCUCAAGAGAAUUGCAUAGAAGACUUCCAGAAUAAAUGCUAUUCAAAUUAUGACAUUUGUUCUGCGAGAUAUUCCCACUUUAUCAGGAUGAAAAUCAUCCCACAAAUCAUCAAGAAUGAUGACAUGGUUUUGUAUCACACUCAAUGCUGUCCAUAGCUCCCCAGCUCUACUCGUCACAUCUUUUCCUCUCGGAAGACAUAAACCAAAAGCUUCGGCAAUGAGAUCCUGCGAGGCAUGAAUGCUAAAUUUCUGUUCAUAUGCUGUGUGAUGAAGGUGUUGCUUUCUGUGACAUAGUAAUCCAACAAACAUGAAAAAAAAAAAUGUCUGGUUUCUCUUGAAGCUGAUUAUGGAUAUGUGCAGCCAAAGUUGUCUUUCCCACUCCCCCAUCCCGUACAUGCCAAUGCAUGAGACCUCACCAUUCAACAACAAGACCAGACAUCCUUCAUAUUUCUUUCAAUAGCUUGACCCACUAGCUUCGUUGUCGGGACUACAUAUCUUUUAGUCCUACGUCGCUUAUGUACAGGCCUUUUAGAAUAGCUUACCGUGUCAAUUCUCAAGUCAUGUUCUCUAUAUAAACUCUUAACAAAACAUCCCUCGUUGAUGAGGAUGAGAUGUUAUUCAAGAUCAUUUCAAAUGCCUGACAUGUUUUCUCUGUUCUCUGUCCAGGCUCGGGUUCAUCUGGCACAAGUACAACAUGAGCUCUAGGUUCCUCAACAAUCUCGGUCUCCCCCGUCAAGAACUGCUCUGUUGAUCACCCCAUCUUCAUCACUUUCAAAAGAAACAUGCAAUAAUUUUGCUAACUUUGAGUUUCUAUCGUCAAAAUUCACUACAAAUCACUUCUUUUCAUUGCACCAUUGGCUUCCCAGCUGCAAAUUCAAGUACCCUUUUUAUAUAUAUAAAAUCAUCAUUUUUUUGGGCUAAAAACAACAAGUUAAUAACAGGUUUAUGUAUAUCGACAACGUCAAUUUAUUUUAUUUAUUUAUUUAAAAUUAAUACUUUUUGGUAUUUAAUUUUUUUUAUCUAUUUAUUUGCUUAAAAAUAAAAAAUUUGUGUUUUUAAAUUAUUUUAAUGUGAUGAUAUCUAAAAUAAUUUUUAAAAAAUAAAAUAAAUAUUAUUUAAUAUAUUUUUGAAUAAAAAAACACUUUAAAAAAUAACCACAACCAUACUUUCAAAUACACCGUUAAUUAUUUUGACAUUUAAAAAUUACAAUCUAAACUGAACUUGUUUGUCAUUCAAAUUUAAAAUUUUUAUUUUGUUUGGAAUUAAUAUAUUAAUAAUAAAAAUAAUUUUUUAAAAAUAAAAUAAAAAAAAUCAUUUUAAUAUAUUUUUAAAUUAAAAAAAUUCUGAAAUAUUAAUUUUUAUCAAACUCACAAGCACUCCUUACAUAUUUACUAUUAGGUAAAGGUUCCGAUACCAAAAUACAAAACAGUCCCUAGAAAUCAUAAAAUCCUAAUUUCAUCCCCGGAAUGAUAGCAAAUGGUUUUGAUAGCUUUGCCAAACCUUAAAUAUUAAAAAUAUUUCACACCGUAUAAGAUUCCUUACAUUUACUAUUAGGAAAAUACACGCUGCAAUUACAACUGAAGAUGCAUGGAUUUUGGAGAGAGGGUACGAACGCCUUCUUGUCAAUGUGCAGCCCCAUGAUCAUCGAUCUAGCGUCACCAUUUACACAUUACCAUACCUUGCAGAAGCCACGAGGAAACAAUCACAACCAAACAGGAUUGGAAACCGUGACCAUAAUGGGUGCUGUGAAAUGAAUAUUGAAACAGAGGAGAAAAUGAAGCUUGCUUACCGGUCAUGGCAUUUCACCAGAGAGCUCUGCUUCUAACUGUGAAAUGCGUCUUCUUGUGGGUAAGAGGCAAGGUCUUCAAACAUGCUCAACUGUGUUCAACAAACUUUCAGAAUCUACUUCAAUUUUCUUAAGAGAAUGGGAAAUAGCGAACGGGAUCCUCGUUAGCUGCGGGCAAUUACCCACUGUAAUUUCUUCGAGAGAAGUGCAUUGAAGUCUUCGAGAAUAAAUGCUUUUCAAAUUUGGUAAUUUCUUCAAUUUAUCAAAACUACGAAAAGGAGAGGAAUGCUCCUCUCCAGGCACCAAAACUUCACAACUUCCCAUUAUCUCUCGCAUGUUGUAACAAUCUUCGACUACAAUCACUUCCAAUCGGAGUGUAGACAAAAACCGUGGGAGCAGCACCUUUAUCCUAUGACACUUAUGUAUCACCAUCUCUCUGAGAUCGAAAAAGACACCAACAGUACCUAGCUUUGAAGGUACUUCAAAAGGGGUUUCUAAGAUUAUCAAACCAUCAAGGUGUAGAAUCUCAAGCCCAUAUGAUGGACAUAAGCUUCUCAUGUUUUGACAACUAACAAAAACUACUUUUGCCCAUAUCAAACCACCUGUUGUUUUGCCCCUCACUACUUCCACCAUUUGUGCUCCACUGGAUCAGUCUGCAAUUCCAUUGCCUGCCUCUGCCCCAACUCCGCUGAUUUCCAAUCACCAUCCUAUGACUACUCGUGCAAAGUAUGGCAUCAGUAAGCCUCGUGCUCUUUGUGCCAGUAAUUAUCCCUUGCCUCAAAAAUAUGUUGCACUACUUAUCUCCUCCAUCCCUCGUGAACCUUCAUCUUUCAAAGCUGCCAGCCUUGAUUCACAUUGGAUUUCUGCAAUGACAGAUGAGUAUCGUGCACUCCUUGAUAAUCAGACGUGGUCUUUAGUGCCUCGUACAUCCUCUAUGAACGUUGUCGGCUGCCGUUGGGUUUACAAAAUCAAAGAACAUGCUGAUGGUUCCAUUGAACGCUAUAAAGCGCGUCUUGUCGCUAAAGGCUUCAAUCAAGAGUAGGGUGUUGAUUUUACAAACACUUUCAGUCCAGUUGCUAAAGCAACAAUAGUUCGUCUACUUCUCUCAAUUGGUCUCUCUCGUUAAUGGAGUAUUCGGCAGCUUGACGUUAAAAACGCUUUUCUACAUGGUGCUUUAACUGAAGAGGUUUUUAUGUCUCAACCUCUGGUUUUAUCCACUCUUCUUUUCCUAACCAUUUGCAACUUCACCGCUCCAUUUAUGGUUUAUGUCAAGCACCGCGUGUGUGGUUCCAGAGUUUUAGUAAUGCCUUAAUUUCUCUUGGCUUUAAAUCUAGCAAGGCUGAUCAUUCUCUUUUUACAUAUCAUUCAUCUACUGGUACAGUGUUGCUGCUUGUCUACAUCGACGAUAUUAUUAUUAUGGGUUCUACAGAUUCUCUUAUUAAUCACUUGUCACUAAGCUCUCUCAACGCUUCCAUAUGAAAGAUCUUGGUGACCUUCAUUAUUUCCUUGGUCUUGAAGUUCAUCGUACCCCCACUCAUUUUCGACUCACGCAAACUAAGUAUCUGCUGUCUAUAUUUAAGUCUUCCAGCAUGCUUGACUAUAAACCUCAAUCUACUCUUGUCGUCUCUGGACGCAAACUUUCCAUGUCUGAUGGCCUUUUAUUAUCUGAUCCUCAUGAAUAUCGUCGUCUUGUGGGAGCUCUUCAAUACCUUACAUUUACACGACCGAAUAUAUCUUAUUAUGUUCAACAAGUUUGCCAAUUCAUGCACUCUCCACGUGAUGCUCAUCUCCAAGCUGUUAAACGAAUUUUACGAUACCUAAGAGGUACAAUUGGUUCUGGUAUUUGCUUCUCUGCCAACUUGUAUCCCACUUUAUCCUGCUUUCUUGAUGCCGAUUGGGCAGGAUGUCCUGAUACUCAUCGCUCCACCAUGGGCCACUGUGUUUUUCUUGGCUCUCAUUUAAUCUCCUGGAGUGCCAAGAAACAAUUAACCGUUGCACUCUCUAGCACAGAAUCUGAAUAUAAAGCUCUUACUCAUGCUUCUGCAGAUCUCUUGUGGAUUUCUUAUGUUCUUCGGGACAUUGGUUUUCACAACCUCCCUGCCUUGCACACUCUACUCUGACAACAUGGGUGCUACUCAAUUGGCCCACAAUCCUGUUUUCCAUGCCCGCACCAAACACAUUGAGCUUUCUUAUCAUUUCACACGUGAACUUGUCUCCACUGGUUUCCUUAAAGUCUCCUUUGUUCGCUCAACGAAUCAACUUGCUGAUCUCUUUAACAAAGGAUUAUCCUUGACUACAUUUUGCUUCUUUCGUGACAAGUUAUUGUGGCAUCCUCUCCAUCAACUUGCGGGGGCAUUAUAGAAUACAAGAUAUUGACAGAUAUUGUAACAGAUUGCAUAGCUAUAAUCAAGGCUUUUGAAUACAUUCUUAGCUAAUGUUGAGGCUAUAAAGUAGGCAAGUGAUAUGCUAUUGUAUAACUAAUUGCAUAUUUACAGGGCUUUGUAAAAUAACUAUAAAUACAUAGAAUCAACUAUUAAAGGUUGAGCCAUUCUUCUACAAUUUUUUCGCAUUCUUUCUUUAUUGAUCAGAAAGAUCUAGAAUUUGAACUGCCAUGGUUUAUAAUUAUUUUUGGAGAUCUGAAAGUAUGAAUCCUUACCAGUUGCGGUGACAAACUACUGUUUAUUGGGAGAAAUGGCCAAUUAGAGCUAGCCAUAUUUACUUGAAUGAUUCUUGAACUUUUCUUGGGCCAUCUGACAGCCUAUGAUAGAUUUCCUAAAAUUUAUUUAUGCGGCCUUCUGUCUCAAAGAAUUUGGCAAGAAACGAUCGGUAGAAAUUUAUAAAAAAUUUACUUUUUAAAAUUUGAUUUAUAGUUUAAAUAGAUGGUAUUAAACUUGGCUAGCUGGAUUCAUCAACUUAGAAUCUAGUUAAAUUCAACAAUUUAUAAAAAAUCUAGUUAUCGUCUAAAACUUGGCUUAAACUAGGUUAAAAAAAUUAAAUAAAAAUUGAUUUAAUCAAAUUAAAAAUCAAGUAAAUUAACUCGCAAUUCAAUCAUCUUAAUUAAAAUUUAAUUUAAUUAUUAAAGUUGUUUUUCUUAAAGUAAUGACAUUUCUUUUUUUUUAAAAUUAUGAAAUAAUUCACCCGAGUAAACUUUGUUUUUCUUAAAACAAUGACAUUAUAUUUUCGUUUAAUUUUUUUUAAAUAGUGAAAUAAUUCACUCGAGUAAACUUUGAUUUAAAAUUGAAAAUCUUGAAAUAAUUAACUUGAAAUUAAUUAUUAGUACUCUCAUUCAAUUCUCAAUUAUAAUCAUGGCACAUGUAACUGUUUUUAUUAUAUAAAGGCUUAUUUAUUUUUAUGUUUUAAAAGGAUUUUUUUUUAAAAAAAAUUAUUUUUAAUUAAUUUUUUUUUGAUAAUUUUAAAUUGUUUUAAUGUGUUAAUAUCAAAACUAAAUUUUAAAAACUAAAAAAUAUUAUUUCGAUACAACACAGUUAGCAUACUCUCAAACAUACAAAGUAUUUUGUCAAAAAACUUCACAUAAAAUCAGGACAACACACAAGCAAUUCAUUCCAUCAAUCUGGAAUUGCAUUACAAAAACGUGAAAAAAAAUAAAAUCUGGAGUUAACUCAGAAUCUACUAUUAUAAGUAAUUAAGUAUACAUGCAUCAGCCAGCGUUAAUUUGAUUCCAAUCACACCUUAGAAUCCAACCUCUGUGCUUCUUUUCCUGCGCAAUCCUUCAGCACAGCUCGGGGUGGAAGGACUUUCUUGAAGAUGGAUAAGAAACAGUUCACUUCGAGAUCAAGCUCGUCAUCGUCAUCGUCAUCCAUCUUAGCCUUCUCCUCUUCCAUUCUCUUCAAUUUAUCGUUGUGUAAUCUUCUCAGAACAUAUGCUUCAGCUAGACAGUACCCAUGAGUUGCCAUGGCCCAAAAACAUGUUCCAGGUGUCUUUGUUGAGAGACCAGUGGAAAUGAACUAGGGUUGAUGAUGAGCUGAGAGGCUCUGUUUAGGUCAUUUUAUAAGGGUCUGUCGGCUUGGGGAGGAAGGAAGUCGUGUGAUGUUCAGUGGUCCAAAUGGAACUUGAGAGUGAAAUAUUUGUAAUUUUUUGGUGGACAAUGUCAUGGCAGCGUAGAAACUUUGUGGAAAUGGACAAUUAAAAAAACAGGGGAUGUAAGAAACCCUUGUUUUUAGUUAUUAGUGAUUAUGUGUGCAACAUCCGGAAUUUUGCAUUGAAAGAAAGGAAGAAAUUAUGUAGAGGAAACACACCCUUGGACUUGUAAAUGUUAUACAUACUUAAUACAUGAACUCCUAACCAGUUACCGAAGGUAACCUCAACUUAUAAUUACUCUGUUUUAGAGAAAGCUGCCAACUCUUGUUGAAGCCAUUGCAUGCAUUCUUAUGAACUUGGACUGGGCUUUCCACUAUUGCAAUCUUGGGCUGCAAGCUCUAGGAUGCUUCUAACAGACACACAAUAAUGGGAGAAAUGAGUAUGUAGCUCUUGAAGACAAAAUGUCAAAUCUUUCAUGUGGUAAGGGUGAUCGAUGUUUGUUCUUCGAAGAUCAUGCAGUUAUUGAUCCUGUCUUGCAUCUUAAACUUUUUCGACGACGAGCUUGCGUGCGAGAUUCAGAGGAAGAUUGAUGAAGUUGGACCGGGCUUUCCACGAUUGCAAUCUUGGGCUUCUUCUAGGUUUGUAAUUCCAUUGUAAUCGUUCAAGUUGGCCAGGACAAAGACACAAUCAUUGAAGAAAUAAGUGUGUAGCACUUGAAGAUUAAAUGAAGAAUCUUUCAUUUUGUAGGGGUGAUCGUAGUUUGUUCUUUGAAGAUGAUGCAAUUAUUGAUUUGGUCUUGCAUCUUGAUGUCGGUAAAUGAUUUUUUUGUUUUUCCAACCAAUAUAACGAUAAAAUUUGGAAUCACCGACAAAAAAAAAGCCGACGCACAUAUUCCGUCAAUAAUAUAGUCGGUAAAUAAUUUACCGAUGAACUCCUAAUCACACACCGACAUAAUAUUUUCAUCGGUAAAACUUCGAAAUCUUGUAGUGUGAAUAUGACUUGCUAAGAAAUGCUGUUUAUAACGAGAGAGACUCUUUCAGAGAGUUGGAGAAUGAGUUUUCUCAUGAGCUAGAUGUUGUGUUUUUCAUAAAGAAAGUGAAAAAAUCCGAAGCUAUUGUUGUAUUGAUACAACACCAUUGUUGAGCACUUUCACCUUAUAAAUUAUUUAUUAGAGAUUUUGAGCAGUUGGAGUAUUGGGAGAUUUGUUAUUAUCUCAUGUUCUGAAGUUUCAAGUCGUUAUCCAUUAAAAGAAUUUUUGGUGACUCUUACUAGCUUUCCACUAAUAAAGUCAAGAAAACUUCAUGGUUGAAUUAAGCUUUUUGAAACUUCGAUCUUGGAUCGGUGGAGUGAUAGGCUUUGUGAGAGCGAGCCCGUUUAUAGGAUUUGUAAAUACGUGUUGUUACUUUCAAUAUAUAUAUAUAUAUAUAUAUAUAUAUAUAUAUAUAUAUAUAUAUAUAUAAGUUACAUUUAUGAAAUGAUUAUUUUAUAUUUAUAGUAAUGUUAGAUCUUAACUUGUAUUGGUGUAAAUAUUUUAUAUGACAUAUAAUUGGUUAAUUAUUGAUUUUAUUCUUAAAUAUAUUUGGAUAAAUGAUUUAAUAACUAAAUAAAUCUUAAUUUCAUUAUAUUAUCUUCUUAGCCAUAAGUUUUUUUUUUUUUUUUUUAUGAUGAGUAUAAUAAAUACUCAUAUAAAAUAAUUAUAUUAUCAUUUUUUUUUUACCUUAAAAACACCUAAAAAAGAUCUAAAAAAGAUCUGAGCUUUGGUAGAAUUUUUGUUUUGGUUGGAUUUUAGGUUUUGGGGUGUUUUAUUGGGUUUUUGGUGGCAAUGGAUUGACUUAACAAGGUCUCUAGAGUUUUUUCUAGGUGUCUUGGGUAAAAAAUAAGUUGAAAAUUGAUUUUUAGGUAAAAAAAUAAAGGACCAUAUUUUUCCGGCCAUCAUAAUAGCCGAAUUCUAGGUUGCGCAAACGACGCAUCAUUGUUUUAUAUACUCGAGGCAUUAUAAUUUUUUUUCUAAAUAAAUGCUCGCGCAUUAGCCGUUGUUUUAUUGGGUCAGAUGUUAGGUGUAGCUUGCUUGGCCCAACAGUGCCUAUCCUGAUUUUUUUUUUUUUUUAGUUUUGUGUGUAUUUUAUCAAAUAAAUUUUUGGUUUAUAUUUUAAUUAGAUUGUGAUUAAUUUUAAAUGAUAUUGAGUAUAUUUAAUUUUUAAAGAGGUAAGUAUGAUUCAUCUGUGAUUUUUUCUUAAUUUUAUAUAGAUUAAAUUUGUUUUUUAAUAUUGUUUUUUUAAUAAGAUUUUUUAUAUGUGCAACCUUACAUUGUUUUUUUAAUUAUUAUUCAAAAAUUUUUAUGUGUGUAUCAGUUUCUAUUACAAAUUUAGUUUAAUAGAGAGGUUCAUUAAACACAAUCAUAUAAAUUACCCAUAUUGCAAUUACCCAAAUUUAUGUAUAGUGCUUUUGUUCCUAUAACCUAGGUCAUUGUUUAAAAAGUUAGUCUUAUUUUUUUAUAUUUAUUUUUUUCUAUAUAAUUAUUCUAUUUUCUUUUAAUUUUUACUUUAUUAACAAAUAAAAUUAUUGAGAUGAUUUGAAAAUAUUAUAAAGAUAUAGUUAUAUAAUAUUGACAAAUAUUUAUCUUUUGUAUUGAGUCAUUGUUUUUUUUCUCGCUUUAUUUACUGUCAACAUCAUUAAAUUAACUAAUUUUAUUAAAUUUAUUAGAGCAAAUUACCUAUAUAUUAUUUUAAAAAUAAUAUUUUUAUAGUAAUUGGUACUUGUGGUGCGACCCGCCUAACUAGUCUUACCUGUAAACAUAUCAUGUUAUGCCAUCCAUGUCACAAACUCAUUUAAAGCUUGACGCAUUGGUCAAUUAUUUUAUAUUUCAGUGUUUUGUGGCAUUAACAAUGAAGUUAGUGAUUGAAGCAUUAGUCCACACUCUUAGUGUCUUUCAUGGCGAAGACUUCCCCCCCAUGCGCACUCAGGUCAAUGAUGAACAAUUGUAGGGUUCUUGGUUAUUACGCAAUAUUUUUUUUUGGUCACCAAACCUGACCUUCGAAGAUGUCAUUAAAAGUGCCGCCACAUCUUUUUCUUUAUGGUAUGGGUGGCGUGAUGACUUAUGAUCGUUGGAUUUUGGUGGAUUGUUCUCAUAAUUUUUUAUAUCUUUUUUUUAUUUCAGUUUUUAUUCUAUUAAUUUUUUAUUUGAUACUUUUAUUUAAAAUUUUAAUCGCUUUCAAUAAAGCUUGUCGGUGGUAAAACACACUCCGAAGCAACCUGUGGUUCAAACUUCAACGACAAAAAUAUGAGCUCUUUCUUUUCUGUUCGUUUCUGUGGUCCACCACCUUUAAUUUCUUUCAUGGCAAGACUUUUCCCCUAUGAGCAAGCAGGUCAAUGACGAAGAAUUGUAGGGUUCUUGGUUAUUUCUUCUGGUCCAGAAGUCUCUGCCGUGUAACAAUCUAUGGGUAGAAAUUAAUGGCAAAGGGAAGAGAUGAAAGAAGAAGGACCUUCAAAAUCCUUCUUUCCUCCCUGCAAUUCCUUCACAAUUAUGUGUUACAUUGAUUUUCUUCGCAUUUGAAGUGAGUUAGAGUACUGGAUGUUAAAUAAUAUUUAUGUAGUCUUAUUUAUUAAGGAUAGAAUAAUACUUUAAGUUUAAUUUAUAUAUAUUUUAAUUGUAUUUAGGUUAUAACUAUACAAUCAUAAUAUACAAAUUAUUCAAAAUUUUAAUAUUUUUUUAUGUGUUUGAUUUUAAUUAUUUCAACACUAAAUUGCUUAAAUAUGAUGAAUAAAGGGUUGGAUUUGUAAAAUUAUUUACACAUUUUCUGCUGUAUCAUCGACGUUCUUCCUUCCUCCAACCAUUUCCAGCACUAACAUACCAAAGCUGUAAACAUCUGAUUUACAGGAAACGUUCCCGAAGUUCCUCGAGAACACUUGUAUCCUUGGAACACAACUUAGCCAUCCCAAAAUCGGCGAUUUUGGGAAUGAUUUAGUUGUCAAGCAGGAUAUUCUGUGGUUUGAUAUCAAAAUGGAGGAUUCUUUGAUCACACCCCUGGUGAAGAUAUUCAAUCCCCUUGGCUAUGCCUAUAGCAAUUAUUCUUUAUAUAUAUAUAUAUAUAUAUAUAUAUAUAUAUAGAGUAAUUGGCUUUUUUUGUUUCAUUGUUUUUAUAUUCAUUUUUUUUUCUUUUUAUACAAUUAUUAUAUUCGUAUUUAAUUUUUAUUUUACUAACAAAUAAGAUCAAUGAGAUAUUUUAAAAAUAUUAUAAAGAUAUUGUUUUAUAAUAUUGACAAACAUUUAUUUUUUAUAUUGAAUCAUUAUUUUUUCCCGUUUUAUUUAUUAUAAAAAUAAAAUAUACUUCCAUAAUAUUUAUAAUUAUUCUAUUAUCAUUGAAUCAUGCUAAAAAUAAUUGGCCCGGGACGGCGCGGCAUCCUAACUAGUCUUAUCUAUAAACCUAUCAUGUUAUGCCACAUACUCAUUUAAAGCUUGAUACAUUGGUCAAUUAUUUUAUACUGAUUGGGACGUUAAAGAGCCGGUCAAUUAUUUUAUAUUUCAGUGUUUUGUGACAUUAGCAAUGAAGUUACUUAUUGUAUUUUAAAAAUAUUUUUAAAAUUUUUAAAAUUUGUUAAAUUUAUUUAUUAAAAAAAUUAAUAUAUUUAGAUUAUUUUAAUAUAUUGAUAUAAAAAAUAAUUUUUAAAAAUUAAAACAAAAUUAUUAUUUUAAAAUAUUUUUAAAUAAAAAUAUUUUAAAAAAUAACUAUAAUUAUACUUUCAAAUAAAUUCUUGCUUUCAUGACGAAGACAUUUCCCCGUGCGCACCCAAGUUAAUAAUGAUGAAGAAUUGUAGGGCUCUGGGUUAUUACGCGUUAACGAGUUGUUGGUGUCCCCAACAUGGGAGAUGCCACCAUAUCUUUUUCUUUUUCUCUUUUAAAGUUGUGAGCGUGAUAACAUGUGAUUAUUGAAUUGUCGCUUAUUAUUUUUUAUAUUUUAUUUUUAAUUUUAUUUUUAUAUUUUAUAUCAACAUUUUAUUUAUUUUCAAAUUUAUUUUUCAAUUAUAUAUUUUUUUAUUUUUUUAUUUCAGUUUUUAUUCUAUUAAUUUUAAAUUUUUUUAUUUGAUACUUUUAUUUGAAACUUUAAUAACUUUUAAUAAAGUUUGUCGGUGGUCAGAGACACUCCGACGCAACCUGUGGUUCAACGACAAAAUAUAUGGUCUUUCUUUCCUAUUCUUUUCCGUGGUCCGCUACCUUUAAUUUCUUUCAUAGUUGAUCUAUCCCCAUGCUCACUCAGGUCCAUAAAGUUUGGCUUUUCCCUUUUUCAUAAAAAUACAUAUUUCAUCUUAGAAAAAGAUAAAAAAUAAAUAAAGCAUGCAUUCGGGGUAUUUUUUUUCCUUUUACGCUGAUCUUUUGUAAUUAUCAUGAUAAUGAGGGAUAUUUAUGUACUUUUACGUUGAAUUUUUGGUUUUUUAAUUAAGACCAUGUUUGUUUCCCGGAAAAUAGUUUCCGGGAAACCAUUUUUUAAAUCUUCUUGUGUUUGUUUGUCAUUAGAAAAGUUGAUCAACGGAAAAUACUUUCUAAUUAAUGGAAAGCACUUUCCAGUCAAAGAAAAAUUUGGCUUGGUUUUUAGAAAAGUGUUUUCCCUUUAACUGUGUUUGUUUUCUGGAAAGUGGUUUCCAGGAAAUCACUUUCCAAACUUUCUUGUGUUUAUUUACCAUUAGGAAAGUUGGUCAAUGAAAAACACUUUUUAGUAAAAGAAAAAUUUGACUUGGUUUUCAGGAAAGUGUUUUCCUGAAAAAUUUGGGCGGAAAACACUUUCCGGAAGUUGUGAAAAAUUUAAAAAUAUCAUUAUUUGCUGAUUAUAUCAAAUUUGAUCCUCAAACUUUUGAUUGCUAUAUAUAUUUUGUUCUGAAUGUUUAUUUUUCAAUUUCAUCUCUUAAAAUUUUAUUUUUAUAUUAACUUUGGUCUUUAUUUUUAUAAUUGUUAUUUGCUUUUUUCUUAUCAUUUUUUUAUUGAAAUUUUUUAUCUAUCAAAUUUGGUCCUCAUUCUUUUGAUUGUUACUUAUUUUAUUUGAAAUAAUUUAUGAAAUAUUGAUUAUUAUUAUUUUAAUUUCUUCAUCUUUCAUUUGUUUUUAAUUUUUUAGAUUUGAUCUCUAUUAUUUUGAUUAUUAUUUAUUUUAUUUGAGAUAAUUUAUAAAAUUAUAUAUUUUUUUCAAUUUUAUUCUCACUCAACUUUUUAAUUUGUAAGAUUUGUUCCUCAUUAUUUUAAUAAACUUGAGAAAAAUAAAAUAUUAAUACGUUAUUUUCCAGCUUAUUUUCCAUGACAUAACCAAACACUGGAAAAUGUUUUCCAACUUAUUUUCCAUUACACUACAAAAUAUCAGAAAAUACUUUCUCGGAAUUCACUUUCCAAAAAAAAACUACUUUCCAGCAAACAAACGAGGCAUAAAGAAAGUUGAUGGUAUGUGUUCAUUAUGCACUAAUAAAUUGAUAGGGUCCGCGCCAUUUUGAAUAACGUGUGUGAUAUUUUUUGGUAGCUAAACUUGACCUUCCAACGUGUCUUUGAAAGUGGCAUCAUGUCCUAUUUUUUAUGGUGUGGCGGGUGAUAACAUAUAGUUGUUAGAUUGUUGUCGAUUGUCCUCUUUGUUAUGUAUUUUAGUUUUAGUUCUUAUUCUUUUGAUUUUUUAUUUCGUUUUUAUUUUUUAUAUAAAUAUUUUAUUUAUUUUCAAUUUAAUAUUUUAAUUAUAAUUUGUUAUAUGUAUUUCUUUUAUUUCAAUCCCUUUUUUUAUUUUUUUAUUUUUUUAUUAAAAUGUUUUUUGAUUUCAAAACUUUUUUUAAGAGCUAAGACAUACUCCGCAGCAAGCCAGCAACCCGUGCUUCAACGACAAAAAUAUGAGCUCUUUUUUUUUUUUUUUGUGUCAUUGGUUCUCGAGCCACAAAACAAAGAAUCUUUGUCCUUAUUGAAGCAUUGGUCCACCACUCUUAAAGUUUUUCACAGCAAGACUUUUCCCGCAUGCACCCUCAGGUUAAAGAUGAAGAAUAUUUGUAGGGUUCUUGGUUAUUCCUUCUUGUCGAGAAGCUUGUGCCUUGUAGCAAUCUAUCACGGUAUUACAAGGAUGAAAGAAGAAGGAUUAAUGCCAACCUUUUCAUCUCGUUGUUGAUCAACAAGGAAGGAACUUGAUAGAAAUAGACCCUUGAGAUUACUAUCCUAUUCAUCAAAAUCCUUCUAUCCUCCCUGCAAUUCCUUCAAAAUUAUGAGUUACAUUGAUUUUCUUCGCAAUUGAAGUAAGUUAGACUGGAUUGCCUAAAUAUGAUUAAUAAAGGGUUGGAUUUGCACAAUUAUUUACACAGUUUAAUUUGUUGAUUUGAUACAUCAUAAACUGUGAAUUGACAGAAAAGAAGAAGAAGCUAUCUCACAGGUCACAACAAUUUCCUUCAUUAUUGCUCACUAAUAUGUUAUUACUGAAAAGAGUAAAUUUCAGAUCACUCUAUUUCUGAGAUGGCUGCCAACUCUUGGUGAAGACGUCUCGCUGGCAUGCGGCCUGCGCUGGUUCUCUUAGAGACAGAGGAGCUAAAAGGAUCAGGAGGCUUUGUUAAGUUUUCUCCUUCCCCUUCAAGCAUCUGGACAACAGUUUUCAUGGAAGGACGCUCUGCUGGGUUCCACUGAAUGCACCAUAGCCCCACAAUUGCUAGUUUCUUCGCAAUUCUAGCAUCUUCUUCUCCAUCGAUAUGAAACCGCAGGUCUUCUUCCUUUUCUAAGAGAUUAUAAAUCCAUUCCGGGAAGUAUAUCUGGUCGCCAUUUUCUGCUGUAUCAUCGACGUUCUUCCUUCCUCCAACCAUUUCCAACACUAACAUGCCAAAGCUGUAAACAUCUGAUUUAUAGGAAACACUCCCGAAGUUCCUCGAGAACACUUCUGGGGCAAUGUAGCCAACAGUCCCCCUAGCAGUCGUCAUGGAAAUAGCACUUUUAUCCUUGGAACACAACUUAGCCAUCCCAAAAUCGGCGAUUUUGGGAUUGAAUUCGUUGUCAAGCAGGAUAUUCUGUGGUUUGAUAUCAAAAUGGAGGAUUCUUUGAUCGCACCCCUGGUGAAGAUAUUCAAUCCCCUUGGCUAUGCCUAGAGCAACACGAUUCAACCUUUCCCAGCCAAGGAAAUGGUUCCUUGAGUCUGCUGAGGUUAUGAACUUCUGUAAUGAACCAUUUGGCAAGUACUCAUAAACCAGAGCUCGUCUAAAUCCAUCAGCACAGAAACCGAUCAAGCGAACAACAUUGACAUGGUGGAUCCUUGCCAUUGUUCCCACUUCAUUGAUGAAUUCCUCCCCUUUUCCUAUGGAAUUAUUGAGGAGCUUCACAGCUACAGCAAUUUCAUUGGUCAGCUUUCCUUUGAACACGGUUCCAUAAGCUCCUUGGCCCAAUUCAUCACUGAAUUGAUUUGUGAUCCUCUUGAGAUCAGCGUAGGAGUACCUAGUGGGAUUCAGUGAUCUGUAAUCAUCCAAAAACAUUUCAACCCUGGCUUGAUAUUCUCUUUGUGUUUUAUCGUUGCUAUAGGCGCGGUAGAGUGCAGUAAUCACUAUAGCAAAAAGGAAGAAUCCUAAAAUCACACCUGCAUAUCAACAUUCUGAGUCAGGAAACUCUGUUUUUUGGGAAGUGAUGUAUUGAACCAAGUGUAAAAUUGAGAUGGAGAUUUGAGCAGACUACUAACCAGUAAUCAGUAGCUUUCGCCGCACAUCUGUAAGGGAUUGAAUACUUAUUAGCUUCUCCCUUUGAUGCAAUUGGUAAAAUCAUGAAAGCAACAAAGACGAAAAGAGUUUAAUUUGAAAAAAAGGAAGAAAGAUAGAAAGGCGUACCUUUAGUGUGCUGAAGGUAGCAUUCAGUUUCAGAAGAUCCACAAGUUAGAUUGGACCAAGACAUAGUAAGAACAUAAUUUUCUGCAUGCAACAUACUAUGUGGAAUUCCAUAAAUGUUGUACAUCUUGGUACAAGAUAACAAAUCAGUGUCACUGAUGGUGGUACUUGAUUCAACGGCAUAAACUUCAUGGUUAAAAGCACUCAGACAUGGGAUUUUAUGUGUGAGCCCAGACCUUUUCUCAUUAGAAGAACAGUUGAACAAGGUCCCAUCAUACAGCCAAUCGUUCUUAAUUUGGAAGUGAGAAGCCCCUAAACUGAGGUUUAAACGUUGCCUUAGAAAGCAACCUUGAGGAUCCCUUGCAUAAAUAAGUCGAUGUCUAUAGUCAAUUCUUUCGACGUGGAGACUCAAUCCAGUUGGCAGCUUAAGCAGUGUGUUGUUGUCCUCCGAGCAGGAUAGAUCAAAACCACAGUGGUCUGGUUGUUUGUCCAUGAUGCGGAAAGGAAAUCGGAUGUUAGGGCCACGGUUUCCACAUGAUCCUGUGCAGUUCAAGCUUGCUCCAUGGCCUGCAAGGAAGACAAUGAAAAAGAAGAACAAACACGUAACCAUUUCUGAUGAAUAAUUCAUCAUCUCCACACUCCACCUAAGAUUUUAUCUGCAUGUGCUGAUAUAGUUUUGGCCUUUCAGAAAACUCAUGGAGUCCUUAGAUGGGCGAGUCCUUCACACUAGUACACGCAUCCCUUCGACACUAAAAAAAAUUAAAAAAGAGUACUGUCUGGUUCAGGUAAUUUUGGGCGGUUUUUAUGAUUAAUUUGCUCAUCCCUAAUGAUAGUAAUAAUCUCUCUAUUUACAUAGUAUUCACAAUGCAUAUGGUAACAUGUUGGAAACCUAGAAUUAGCAGAAAAAUAGAUUCUAUCAAGUGAAUUUUAAUUACAUGGUCGCACUCUUAACGCUUAAUGCCAGAAGGGACUAGGGGUUGUGAUGGAUGCGAGAUUCUCAACAAGAAAUAACGAAGAAGCGUAUAAAUCUUCGUCAUUGACUCCAGGGUGGCUGAGGGCAAAAGUCUUGCUAUGUGAAACUUCGAGUGACAGACCAAUGUUUCAAUCAUUGACUUAAGUGUCAGUACAAUUUGUCCACACACUAUUUGAGAAGGAAAGUAAAGGGCUCUCUGUCCUGUUGUGUUGCUUGAGAUACAAUGAAUCAAGAAAGAAAAGGUCCAUAUUUUUGUCAGUAGCUUCCACUACGAAAUUCAAUAGUUUGUGCAAAAAUUAUGUAUACACUGUGUAUCACUUCAGCCUUCCCCAUGUUUAGAGGAAUGAACGUCCUUUUUGCUUGCUACAUAGCUUUUCUUUUACAGCUAUUAGUCUUCCAAACUUGCCAUUCUAGCACCAUCACUGCUCAUUGUGCUCCUUCUUCAUGCGGCAAUAUCCAAAACAUAAGCUUCCCUUUCAGACUAAACACUGAUCCACAAAGCUGCGGAAACUAUAAUUAUACUCUGAUUUGCGAGAACAAUAUUUCUACAGUAUUAUAUUUGUAUUCAGGUAAAUACUACGUGCAGGCAAUCGACUACGGCAACUUCACAAUCCGAGUGGUAGAUGCUGGUGUACAAGAUAAUUGCUGCUCCAUCCCUCGUUAUUCUUUGGCAUUUGAUAACUUCAGUGACGGAGAUCCAUACACAUCGUAUAACUACAAGCAGGUGCCGCCGCCGGGAGUGAGUGAGGGUUUCGUGUACUAUUGGGACCCUUACUUACCUCCACUAUCACAGCCUAUGAUUUUCAUGAGCUGUGAAAAUACGGUGAAUUCUCCUCUCUAUGUGGACACGGCUCCCUACGGCCUUAACUAUGGAUCAGUAAAUUAUUCGAAUUAUGUGACUCUUGGUAGCAUGACUGCCUCGGAUUUGAUGGAACUGUGCAGCAUAGAGAAAAUAUUUUUGCUUCCAAAGAAGAGCUACACAGACAAUUACUCCUUUGAAGAAAUACACAGUGACCUGGCAUAUGGGUUUGAGCUUUCAUGGUACAACAUAAACUGUGGAAAAUGCAGAAGUGGUUGCUACCUCGACAGUGCAGACCGUCGUUGGUGCUUUGGUAUGUAACACUUGAUGAUUAAGUUGCAUCACUUUGAUUCAUAAGACCAUAUAUAACUUGUGAUUUGAGGUGGUUUCAUAUAUUUUCUCUGGCUUACUUUUCAAUUUUCAUUUUUUUCUGCGCAUUAGCACAAUAUUGCACUGUCCCCAGAUCGAUGUUCAUGUACAAAUUCUGUGCAUCCAUUACCUGUGAAUUCUACUAUAGUGGACUGAUCAUGAGAUUCAUUCAUGUUAAUAUUGUAAAAUAUUCUGACUAUAAUGUGGUUUAAGGUAGUUGGACAGAUUCAUUGGUCUUUUGCAAUUUCAGGAUUGACACAGUGAACCGUUUGGUUCAUCUUAACUUGACCAUGGAUACACAUUAAUUAGUUCAAGUCACAUUAUUAAUUAAAUUGUGUGUGCUCUUAUCUAUUUUCUUUAGCAUUUACUGUUGCGUAUACCAUUAGAACUCGUUUUUAAACCUAAAUUCUCGACAGAUUUUGGUGAAAGCUACUGGGAAAGACUACUCUACGCAGUGAUAGGUGCGAAUUCUCUUUCUGCAUCUCACCUUGUUUGUGUAUUCUUAAGUGUUUCUUCAAACGACUUAUUUGUGAAAUAAGGAUUGUUGUUUCUUGAAUAGUAAUUGUAAUUUUGUUCACCAUUUUCUGCAGCUCCCUCUCUAUAUAUCCAUUUUAUUUGGUAAGAGAUUCCAUCAUUUCUUUAGUUUCGCAACAAAUUUCUAGUGGAGACAACAAAUAAGAUCACAAAACUUGAUUGUUUUCUGGAAAUUUCCUACACAGCACUGCUUCAUGGGCCAAAAGUUGUUUGUGGGACUCCAUGUGUGAUUAUAUUUUUGAUCUACAAAUGCGAAGGAGACAUUUAUCAGCAUACGAUAAAGUUGAACAAUUCCUACAGGGUCAGAAUAACCUAUGCCAGUAAGGUAUUCCUACUCAGAUAUCAAGAAGAUUACUAGAGGUUUCAAGGAGAAAUUAGGUGAAGGAGGCUUUGGUACAGUUUACAAAGGAAAGCUUCGCAGUGGGCGUUUUGCAGCAGUAAAAUUGUUGGGAAAAUCAAAAGCUAAUGGACAGGAUUUCAUAAAUGAAGUUGCUACCAUAGGAAGGAUUCACCAUACUAACGUGGUGCAGCUAAUUGGUUUUUGCGCUGAAGGAUCAAAGCGAGCUCUUGUAUAUGAUUUCAUGGCUAAUGGAUCUCUUGAUAGACACUUUUUCUCGAGAAGGAUCAAUCUCUUUAAGCUGGCAAAAACUGCAUCAGAUUUCCCUUGGAGUGGCUCGUGGUAUCGACUAUCUUCAUUUAGGCUGUGACAUGCAAAUACUUCAUUUUGAUAUCAAACCUCACAACAUUCUUCUCGACGAAAAUUUCACUCCAAAAGUCUCUGACUUCGGGCUCGCUAGGUUGUACCCAACGAAUGGCAGCAUAACAUCUCUUACUGCAGCAAGGGGCACCAUAGGAUACAUGGCUCCUGAAUUGUUCUACAAAAACAUUGGACGUGUCUCCUAUAAAGCUGAUGUUUAUAGCUUCGGAAUGCUGCUAUUGGAAAUGGCAGGCAAAAGGAAGAAUGUAAACGCAUUGGCAGAAAAUUCAAGUCAAAUCUACUGGCCAUAUUGGGUUCAUGACCAAGUAUCUGAUGGAAAGGCCAUAGAAAUCGGAGACGAUGCCACGGAGGAAGAACGUAAGAUCGUCAAGAAGAUGAUUAUGGUUGGAUUGUGGUGUAUACAAAUGAAACCCAUGGAUCGGCCUACAAUGAAGAAUGUUGUGGAGAUGCUUGAAGGAGAUUUGGAAAACUUGCAAUUGCCUCCUAAGCCUGUCUUCAAUCUAGAUGUGACGCCACCAAACAUUGAAGGAGAGUCAUCAUCGUUGUCAGGUGAUUCUACCGAAUCAACCAGUGUUGUUGAAAAUGCAUACUAAGUGAUAUGAUGUGGAAUGCUCUGCUUACAUGCAGGGAAAAUGCUAGAAUAAUGGUGCUUUCGGACUUGGUUAUGAUAAUUUAGUCUGCAAACAUUAUGAUAAUUUGCAAUACUUGCUUUUAUCUGAUCUGUGUUUAGCUAAUUUAGAGUUCAAGCUGCAGCUUGUUUCUUCGGUUUGGUCUAUAUAAUGAUCAUACAAAGAUGUUCUGUAUUGUGUUUAACUAUCAGAUUUCCACUAUCUAUGGCAAUCAUAGCAGUUAGCGAGGAUGGUACAUCCUCCAUGAUAACUGCUACAUGUUCUACAUAUUAAUUAUCGUAUUUGUCUCCAGCAAGAGUAAUAUUUUGGCUACAAAUCAACAAGAGACUGUCAUAGGCAUUAUAUAAACAAGUUGAUGCAUGAAAAGACGAGUCUCUAUUUAUAGGUAGCCACUACAAGUAACUUCGGAGACCACAAAUACAAGGCAAGUCUCUCUAGUAAUCCUUCCACUACAAGUAGCUUCGGAGAUAGAAAAUAGCGAUUUAUUUGCUGUCAUAGGGAUGAUUCUGAACAGAGGGGCUUAAUUUGAUUUUCUUCCACCAACAAUGCCUUCUUGUCAAUGUUCAGCCCCAUGAUAAUCGAUCUAGCGUCACCAUUUGCACAUUACCAUAUCUUGCAUAAGCCACGAGGAACCAAACACAACAAAACCGGAUUGAAAACCAUGACCAUAACGGGUGCUGUGAAAUGAAUAUUGAAACAGAUGGGUGAAUUUGAUGCAGAAAAGUAGAGAGGAGACAAUGAAGCUUGCUUACCGGUCAUGGCAUUUCACCAGGGAGCUCUGCUUCUUCAAAAAUGCUCAACUGUGUUCAACAACCUUUCAGGAUCUGCUUCAAUUUUCUUAAGAGAAUGGGAAAUAGUGAACGGGAUCCUCGUUAGCUGCGGGCAAUCACCCACAGUAAUUUUCUCAAGAGAAAUGCAUAGAAGACUUCCAGAAUAAAUGCUAUUCAAAUUAUGACAUUUGUUCUACGAGAUAUUCCCACUUUCUCAGGAUGAAAAUCAUCCCACAAAUCAUCAAGAAAGAUAACAUGGUUUUGUAUCGCACUCAAUGCUGUCCUUAGCUCCCCAGCUGUACUCAUCACAUCUUUUCCUUUCGGAAGACAUAAACCAAAAGCUUCGGCAAUGACAUCCUGCAAUGCAUGAAUGCUAAAUUCUUGUGACAUUGUUGUGACAAACAUGAAAAAAAAUGUCUGGUUUCUCUUGAAGCUGGUUAUGGAUAUGUGCAGCCAAAGUUGUCUUUCCCACUCCCCCAUCCCGUAAAUGCUAAUGCAUGAGACCUCACCACUCAACAACCAAGACCAGACAUCCUUCAUAUUUCUUUCAAUAGCUUGGCCCACUAGCUUCGUUGGAUUGUGGUGUAUACAAAUGAAACCCAUGGAUCGGCCUACAAUGAAGAAUGUUGUGGAGAUGCUUGAAGGAGAUUUGGAAAACUUGCAAUUGCCUCCUAGGCCUGUCUUCAAUCUUGAUGUGACGCCACCAAACAUUGAAGGAGAGUCAUCAUCGUUGUCAGGUGAUUAUACCGAAUCAACCAGUUUGGUUGAAAAUGCAUACUGAGUGAUAUGAUGUUGAAUGCUCUGCUUACAUGCAGGGAAAAUGAUAGAAUAAUAGCGCUUUCGGACGUGGUUAUGAUCGUUUAGUCUGCAAACAUUAUGAUAAUUUGCAGUCCUUGCUUUUAUCUGAUUUGUGUUUAGCUAAUUUAGAGUUCAAGCUGCGGCUUGUUUCUUCGGUGUGGUCUAUAUAAUAAUCAUACAAAGAUGUUCUGUAUUGUGUUUAACAAUCAGAUUACUGUUACAAAAGUAUGAAGUAUAAAGUAUUAUCCUUAUUCUGUUAUUUAGGCUGACUAGCAGCCCCUUCCCCUUAUACUAAUAUUAUUUAACUCAAGACUUUUUAAAUUCUCUAGAUUGUCAUCAAUUAGGGUUGUUGAUGGUGGUUGAUUGUUGAACUGCUGAGAAAAAAAAACUAAGAGAGGCUAGGGUAAAUGCUGUAUGUGGCAAGUGGUUAGUGUUGAGAGAGACAAAGAACAUUUAUCUUUACACUAACACUCAUCUCUCCGGAACACAAAAGGGACUUGCCUCUUUAUUUGGAGGACGCUAAAGAACAUUGAGAGAACCCUUAUUUUUACACUACACACAACGUGCAAAACACCUCUUUCAUCUUCUUCAUCUUUUUACCUACUUAUUUAUUUAGAAAUCAAACUAAAAAAACUAACUUGAGCAUUAAUAGAGGACUUCCAAAAUGAAAUAGUUGGGGACUAGAUAAUUGGCUUGCAAUUAUUUAAACAUUGCUAAUGCUUUUUUUAGUUACAUUUUAAACUAUGUGAGGUUGACUUGAGAUGAGCUGAUCUACUUGAUAGGUCUAAAAACAACUUAGACGGUUAAUAAAAAUAUAAUUUAACUCAAAAUAAAUAUUCAAGAUGAUUUAUUAAGAUAUCGAUAUAUUGGAUUGGUUUUGGUCAAUUUAAAUUAACAUGUUUAUCUGGUCAUGAGACCAUAAUAACUUCAUAGAAAGAAAAUCAAAACAAAUUAUGAAGUGUAAGUUCCAAUAAAUUCAAUGUUAAAUAAUAAAAUUAAAAAUUAAAUGAAUAAUAAAAAAAAAAAUUGAAAAAUUCAUCGGGGAGGAUGCGCUUUCUCUAAAAAAAAGAAUGAAUUUCAAACAGAUCAAAAGAAUGCGCUUUCUGUCAAGAAGUAUAAAACAUAUUGAAAUUUUAUCUCUACAAUAAUAGAACUUGAUGCAAGAGGAAGGAAAUGACAGGAGUAAAGCAAGAUGAGAAAGCGAAAUGAAGUCUCUCAACCCCUAUUUAUAUAGGAGGCCAAUGGGUGCGAAAUUAAUUUGAAUUAAUUCCUAACAAUUCAUUGUAAUCGCAGAAUCAAUGAAUUUGAAAAGAUUUAAUGAAACUAAUCAAACAUUAAAGAAAUAAUUUAAUAGAUAUAAUAAAAAUAGUUGUAUCAAUUUUUUAUUCGUCCAUGAUUGAUUUUAAACAUGUUAACAUUCAAGAUAUACAAAGAUGUAAAUAAAUUGAUUGAUCACUAAAUUAGUACAAGUAGAUUUUGGUUUUGGACAUUUUAUAAUAAAAUAAUAUCAAAUUUAUUUGGCUAAUUAAUGAUUUCAAUGUUUUAAACUAAUCCACUUUUCAUCUAUGUCAUAAUUUAAUUUUUGAUUUUUAUCUUUAUAAAAUAAAAAAAAUGAAGUGGGAAAAUUGGAAUGAAUGAAGAAAAAUUAAGAUUUAGAUCAAAACAAUACAAAUGAGAAGUUUUUGAGUAUCAAUCAGGGAGGAAUUGUAAAUUUGGGGUUUAAUUUUGCUUGAAAUUGAAAGAAUUGAUGAGUUUGAAGACUUAAUUAAGCUUAAAAUUAGUUUAAUUAACAAAAUCAUUAGCUUAAUUGAAGAAAUAUUAAAAAUAACUGAUUUAGGUCUAAAUUGCAAGAAAUAAAGUCCAAGGACCGUUGUGCAAAAGGCACCGCAAUGCAGGGGUCUACUUAAAAUUUAGCCCAGGGGUCCGUUUGAAACAUGUUAAAACCUCGAGGACUAAAUUGAAAAAUGGCCGCCCCAAUCUAGAAACGGCGCUGUUUUUCAAUUCCAUUCAUCGUCUUCUUCCUCUGGAAGCAGAGGAGACCCCCUGCAAAGGAAAAUAUCAAUCGCCGCACACAUGCCAAAUUCAAGACCGCGUUGUCUACCCACGGAACCCAUGGCAUUUGGUUGGUCUCCCUCACCCUCAUAACUCUCCCCUGACGCGAGGAUAAGCACCACCAAGAAUCCAGCAACGGCAGGACUGUUGGUGUUUCCAUUCUACCCAAACACGGAGCCAAUUCACUCUACACAAGAUGACGAUCCCAGGGAAUAUAAGGAUAAGAAUCCCUCUCAAGGUCUGACUCUAUAAAAGUGGGAGAGAAGGAAGAACAGGGGAUCGAAAAAGAGAGACGAUACAGAGAUAAAAACCAAAAAAUAAAAUAAAAAGAAUAGAGAGCAGAAGGGAGGAGAGGACUAGGUCUUGAGAAAGCAAAAACAUAAAGACAAAAAAGAGAAGCCGGGGAAAAGAAAGGGCGUCCGAGGAGUGCUUCAUCCAGCACCUGCAUUUUGCCGCUCAAGGUCGCUGCAAAAACAGGCAAGUCACUUUCAAUUCUCCCUCUCUCUGCAAUUUAAUUACUCUGAUUCUCUCUGCAAUUUAGUCACUUUGAAUUCUCUGAACAGUUCACGCACGCAUGCAAGUAAAAAAAAAGAGAGGAAAGAAAAGGGAGCCGGGUUACUGAUUUAGCUACGUCUGGCAUAGCCUGUACGGCUGGGUCUGAUCCCAGACCUAAUCAGUCCAAACUUUUUUUGCUAAGGGUAUAUUUGAUAAAAUAGACUCUCAUGCCUUGUUCAUGUAUUUUCAUUCCCCUUUUAUUUUGAGAGGCAUAGAAAAUUUAUUUCUUCUUAUUAAAAAUUUAAAAUUUUGUGAAUUUAUUUAGUGAUAUCAAAGACAGGAAUAUUAUAUUUUUUUGGAUUGUAUAAUAUUUAUAAAUAUCAGAGUUGAAAAUAUUCGUAGUUACUAUUUAUUGACGGUAGAGUCAGGAACAUAAUAUGAAAAAUUAAAAAAAAAAACAAAUUUUUAUCAAUUUUAAACAAAGCUAGCAAUACAACCUGUAUUAGGUAUAACGUUCAAGGAAUGAUAGUAUCUUUUAUUUGACAUAACCAAUUUCCUAUCAUAGAAUUUUUAUUGAUUAGUUAGAGUUUUUAAUAAUCAUAAUACUUAGUGGUAAUUAUUUAAACAUAGAUUUUUUUCUUUAAAAAAUAAGAUGCCAUAUACAUGUUUUUUUCAUUGAAAAUUUUUAUUGAUGGACGGCAAAAGUCAAGAGUGACAAUAUAAAUCAAAACAAUAUAAUACUUACAUAGUUACCUUUCUGUAAAAAGUAUUGAAUAUUAAUAUUAAUUUUUUUUAAUCAUGUUUCGAAGGCAAGUGUGCAAGCUUUACAUGUGAUAGCAAUCUCAAUGACUUCACUGCUACAUGCCUUCAUUAUCCUUGUAUUUGUUUUAGGUAAUAGAGGCAGUCGGCCUCUCCAUCAAUCUCUCUGUAUUUAUUGUAUCAGAUAAGAUAUUCCUGUUUUAGGAAUUUGUUUCUGUCAGAUUAUAUGUAUUAUUUUUGAAUUCCUUGUAACUUGAUAUCGAUGAAUGAAUGAAAGAAGAAUGUGGCCUUUACUCGAUCUAUUCUUCGUCCUGUUCUCAUCACAUGGUAUCAAAGCAAUUAAAUUUGCUGCUGCUGUUCUUCUCUAGGCACAACAACCAUGACAACAGACAACAACACUCUGCUUCCCUUCAUCAUCCAGAUUAUAGUCAAAAUGAUCAACUUCCUCCUCGUCUCUAUCUUGGCCACUGCCAAAUUUGUAGGAUUUAGGGACAUAACUAAAACCAAGAAGUGUCCAUCAUUUCGUUUUGUUUCAGUGCAGACACCCACCACCACAAAUGCUCCAAUGAUCACCUCUCCAACACCAUGGCAUCCUAGCUCGGGCACACUUCGCUGUCAACACCUCUUCUAUCACUCCAACGUUGCUGCUGGAAAAUGGUGCUUCUGAUCAUGUCAUUGCCGACUUAAGCAUUUUAUCAUUUCAUGCGUCCUACGAUGGUUUUGACGAAAUCAUGAUCGAUGAUUUUGUUGGGUUAUUUCCAGAACUCAAACACGCACAAUUUACGUGGUUCGGCAACUUGCCUACUCCACGGAGUUACUGGUUGUAUUAAUCAAGCUUACAAAGAAACAAUACAACAACAAGAGGAGGAGAAUCUUCUCAACUCAACUCUACACUCAAGCUCUCUCUCUGUGUUUCUCUCUUUCUCUUCUUCUCACUGUGUUCUUCGUGCUCUCUCAGUUCUUCACAUACACACACACACACACACACAGCUAUACAUAUACAAAUAAUGGGAGUGGGGGGUGUCCUCCACCAUGUGCUAAGUGGGAGAUUAUUCCCACUAGCACAUGGUGGGGCAAUUGUUGUCUCCAUAAUGCUAACAAUCUCCCACUUGGAGACAAACAAUGAAAUCCUUUUUUAUCCUUGAAGGCCAACUGAAGUUUUGCACAACUUCAGUUUCUCAAGUGUAACUCCUUUGGUUAACAUGUCAGCUGGAUUCUUGCUUCCACAGAUCUUUUCUAGCAUUAGUUGCUCGUCGUCCAGCAGUUGUCGGAUGAAGUGAUAUUUGAUCUGAAUAUGCUUCGUCCUGGAGUGAAAUGCUGGAUUCUUGGCAAGGAAGAUUGCACUCUGACUGUCGCUAUACAAAGUACCUUUUCCAUUCAACUUGCCCAAUUCUUUCAAGAAACUCUGCAACCAUACUAUCUCUUUUGCAAAUUCUGAGACUGCAACAUAUUCAGCUUCUGUUGUUGAAAGAGCAACGAUCUUUUGCAAGGUAGAACUCCAGGAAACAGCAGUACCUCCUAGAGUAUAAACAUAUCCUGUAGUGCUCUUUCUGCUAUCAACAUCUCCUGCUAGAUCAGCAUCUACAAAACCUUCAAGUUUCAAACCACCAGCUGUGAAACUGAGACAAGUUUCCGAUGAACCUUUUAAGUACCUCAUGAUCCAUUUCACCGCCUCCCAAUGCUGCUUUCCAGGAUUGCUCAUAUAUCGGCUUACAACUCCCACUGCAUGGGCAAUGUCUGGUCUGGUACAGACCAUAGCAUACAUCAAAGAGCCGAUAGCUGAGGCGUAUGGAAUCUUAUCCAUGUAUCCACUUUCUAGCUCAGUUUUUGGUGACUGAUCUUUGCUGAGCUUGAAAUGAUUCCCCAGUGGUGUACUUACUGGUUUAGCAUUAUCCAUACUAAACCUGCUGAGAACCUUCUUGACAUACUCUGUUUGUGAGAGCUUUAGUAUGCCUUUGUCUUUAUCUCUGAUGAUUCUCAUGCCAAGUAUUUGUUUAGCAGCUCCCAGAUCCUUCAUUUCAAACUGUUUCGACAACUGCUGUUUCAGCUUAUCAAUCUCCUCAAUGCUGGAUCCUGCAAUCAACAUAUCAUCUACAUAUAAUAGUAGAAUGAUGUAGGAGUUGUCAAAAUGUUUGACAUAGCAACAAUGAUCAGCUUGGCAUCUUGUAUACCCGGAACUGCACAUGAAGUUGUCAAACUUCUUGUACCACUGUCUUGGAGCUUGCUUCAAACCGUAUAGGCUUUUCUGUAGCUUGCAGACUUGAUUCUCCUUUCCUUGCAUUGCAAACCCCUCUGGCUGUUGCAUGUAAAUAUCUUCCUCCAAGUCACCAUGAAGGAAUGCUGUUUUUACAUCUAACUGUUCAAGAUGUAAAUUUUCUGCAGCUACUAUCCCCAGAACAACUCUGAUUGUUGUGAGCUUCACAACUGGAGAAAAAAUCUCAGAGUAGUCAAUGCCUUUCUUCUGUUGAAACCCUUUGACAACAAGUCUUGCCUUGAACCGUUUGCUUCCGUCAUGCUCAGUCUUCACUCUGUAAACCCACUUAUUUUGCAAGGCCUUCUUUCCUUCAGGUAAUGUUGUUAGCUCCCAAGUCUUGUUCUUCAACAACGAACUCAUCUCAUCCUUCAUGGCUAACUCCCACUUGCUUGAGUUUCCAUCUUGUAAGGAUUCUUCAUAAGAUAACGGUUCACCACCAUCUGUCAGCAAAAUAUAAUUCAGUAAAAGUGUGAACCGUUGCGGGGGCUUUAUCGUCCUCGAAGACCUGCGAACAGCUGGUUCAAGUUGCUCCGCAUCUUCUUGUGUGGAAGUGGGCACAGAUGUGCUUGAAUCUUCUUGUAAAGACUCUUGAUUGUUGUUCUGCUUAGUAACAUCGGGAAGCCCUUCUAAUCUUAUGAAUUCAGAUCUUUGUGGACUUGUAUCUGAAUCAGCCAUCUCUGUUUCUCCACUUGAUCUGUCUUUGUACAUAACUUUCUCAUUGAAGAUCACGUUCCUGCUUCUGAUAAUCUUUCUAUUCUGAUCAUCCCAGAACCGAAAUCCAAAUUCUUCAUCUCCAUAGCCAAUGAAGAAACAUUUCUUGGAUUUGGCAUCUAACUUGUUGCGAGCAUCAGAAUCUAUGUGAACAUAGGAAACACACCCAAAGACCUUCAAAUGAGAGAGUCGUACCUCUUUUCCUCUCCAUACUUCCUCGGGCAAUCUGAAUUCCAAAGGAACUGAUGGUCCACGGUUGAUCAAGUAAACUGCGGUAUGAACUGCGUCAGCCCAGAAUGUUUGAGGUAACCCUGAAUGCAACCUCAUGCUUCUAGCUCGUUCAUUGAUGGUCCUGUUCAUCCGUUCAGCAACGCCAUUCUGUUGCGGUGUGCCUGGAACGGUCUUUUCCAUUCUGAUACCAUUGACAGCACAAUACUCCUUGAAACCUCCAUCAAUGUAUUCUCCUCCAUUAUCAGAUCUCAAGCAUUUCAACUUUAGACCUGAUUCAGUCUCAACCAUAGCCUUCCAUUUCUUGAAUGUUUCAAACACAUCAGAUUUAUUUUUCAGAAAGUAACCCAUACCUUCCUGCUGAAGUCAUCAAUGAAAGUCACAUAAUACCGAGAACCUCCAAGAGAUGCUACUGGAGACGGUCCCCAUAAAUCUGUGUGUACCAGUUCUAGCUUUCUUGGUCUUAAGGUCCUGCCAACCUUCAAGAAACUGACCUUCUUCUGUUUUCCAAGAACACAGCUUUCACAAAUGUCUAGAUCGACAUUUUUUAACUCUGGCAGCUUUCCCUUCGACUGAAGUAUCUUCAUCCCCUUUUGACUCAUAUGGCCAAGUCUACAAUGCCAUAGCUGUGCUUGAUUUUCUGCUUCAGUUGAGGCAAUGAUGUCUGCAAAUCUUGUGGUCAUAUACAGGGUGCCGGUUUUCUUUCCACGAGCUAAAACCAUUGCUCCCUUUGAUACUUUCCACAUUCCUCCAGCAAAAAGUAUUGAAUGACCACUAUCAUCAAGUUGUCCGACAGAGAUCAACUUCUUCUUUAAUUCAGGAACAUGCCUUACAUUCUGCAAGGUCCAUAUAGAUCCAUUCAUUGUCUUGAUUUGCACAUCUCCUAUACCCACAAUAUUCAGUGGUGUUCCAUCGGCCAGAUAGACUACACCAUGAUCUCCUCCAACAUAAUUUUGCAGCAUUUCAUUGUGUGGCGUACAGUGGAAUGAAGCACCAGAAUCAAGAAUCCACUCAUCAAUUUGACUUUGUACAGCAAGAAUUAAAGCAUCUUGUACCUCAUCUGUGGUAGCGUUUGCAGAGUCAGCUUCAGGUUUCUUCGGUUUUGUGCAAUUCCUACUGAAAUGACCAGGUUUGCCACAAUUCCAACAUUCAACCUGCUUUCUGGAUCCAAACUUGCUUUUACUUCUGUAUCUGGAUUUUGAUCUGCCUCUGGAUGAGCCUCUAUCGUGUCUCCUCCCUCGAGUGUUGAUGUUGAGAGCUGAUCCUGAGCUUGAACUUUCACCCGAGUCUUUCCUUCGCACUUCUUCAGCCAAAAUCAAGUCUCGAAUGUCAUCAUACUUCAGUUUGGAUUUUCCAGCUGAAUUGCUCACGGCUGUCCUCAUGCCUUCCCAACUGCUUGGAAGUGAAGCUAGCAAGAUGAGUGCACGAAUCUCAUCAUCAAACUCAAUCGCAACAGAUGAUAAUUGAUUUGUGAUGGUAUUAAAGUUGUUGAGGUGUUGUGUCACAGAAGUUUUCGACCAUCUUCAAGUUGAACAACUUUUUCAUCAGGUGCACUUUAUUAUUUGCUGAUGGCUUCUCAUACAUCCCAGACAAGGCUUCCAUCAAUUUUGCAGUGGAUUUUUCUUUCGUAACAUUGUGAGCAACUCUUCUUGAUAACGAUAGCCGGAUAAUGCCCAGAACUUGUCUAUCAAGAAGUUGCCAUUCUUCUUCUUCCAUCUUUUCUGGUUUGCUUCCCAAUAAGGGAAGAUGAAGUUUCUUCCCAUAUAAAUAAUCUUCAAUUUGCAUUUUCCAGUAUCCAAAAUCUGUUCCGUCAAAUUUUUCAAUUCCAGCAGCCUUUAUUUCAUCUGCCAUUUUUACUUCUCCGAUUCGAAUUUCCCAAAUCUGACCUUACAGAUGUGUCCAGAACGGCCAAAAACCUUGGAAAUGACACUGAGAUCACCCCAAUCGGACUUCGGAUGGCUCAGAUUUUAGCAAUCAAAGUUUUGGAUUAACGGACGGUGCAGAUGCAGCCGCGUGUCAGCCAGAGUACCGCCUGCGUCACACCGGAUAAAAACUCAGUAGCGGUUCUGAUGAAGACACGUGUCAGCAGAUUACAGCCUGCGUCGCACCGGAUCAAAACUCAGUAACGGUGCAGAUUAAGCCACGUGUCCGCAGAUUAGAGCCUGCGUCACACCUGAUCAAACUCAGUAACGGUGCAGAUUCAGCCACGUGUCACAAGAUUAGAGCCUGAGUCGCACCGGAUCAAAACUCAGAAGCGGUCUAGAUUCAGCCACGUGUCAGCUGAUUAGCUCCUGCGUCGCACCAGAUUAAAACCCCUCAACGGUGAUGAUGUAGCCACGUGUCACACGAUUACCGUUUGCGGUGCACUGGAUCAAAACCCAGGUGGAUGACAUGUCAGGUGACGUGGACGUUGACCGUGCGACUUGCUGACGUGGCGGGUCAGACCCGACCCGUUUUGCAGAAACCGGGCGAAGAAGAAGCGUGGCGCGCGUGCGGCGCGUUGGUGCGCGUGGGCAGUGCUAGCGUCGGCGCGUGCGGGCAUGCAGGACGUCGAUUCUUCGCCGGGGUUUCAACAGUGGAUUCGUCCGGUUGUCCUCUACACGAUGGUAUGUUCAAAAACACAUUUUGAGAACUUUGAUUUUUGAGUUUGGAUCAAACACCCUCUUUGUCAAGAACAAGCUCUGAUACCAGUUGUUGGGUUAUUUCCAGAACUCAAACACGCACAAUUUACGUGGUUCGGCAACUUGCCUACUCCACGGAGCUACUGGUUGUAUUAAUCAAGCUUACAAAGAAACAAUACAACAACAAGAGGAGGAGAAUCUUCUCAACUCAACUCUACACUCAAGCUCUCUCUCUGUGUUUCUCUCUUUCUCUUCUUCUCACUGUGUUCUUCGUGCUCUCUGUGUUCUUCAUACAUAACACAGCACACACACACACAACUAUACAUAUACAAAUAAUGGGAGUGGGGGGUGUCCUCCACCAUGUGCUAAGUGGGAGAUUAUUCCCACUAGCACAUGGUGGGGCAAUUGUUGUCUCCAUAAUGCUAACAGAUUUCACCUUUCUUACAACUCACACUGAUUCCACCUUUCUUACAACUCCUAAGAACAUUUAAACACUGUACCAAACAUGAAGAAAAAUUUAAUAAUUUUACUUAUCAAAUAAUGCAUUCAUUGAAUUCUUACCCUUUUCCUUUCUUACGAAGGAAGUUCGUACAAGGGAGAUUCUUUUGAAGGGCAAAAUGAAGGAUGGGAUGCAUGAAUGGUAUGUUGAAAAAGAAGAGUAGGCUGUGGUAGUUAAUUUAUAAGAACAUAGCUAAAGAAUAAAGUUAAAAAACAAGAAGAAUAAUGAGAUGAAUGAUAUUUUAUUAAGAGUUUUCUUAAAAUAUAUAUAUUUUUAGCUUUUUUUUAUAUCUCUAUAUAAUGCUUAAGAUUACAUGACUUAUUAUAGACCUCAAGUUCUAUAUAAUAAUAAAAAUUAAACUAUUUUAAAAAAAAUUCUAAUCUAAUAAGAAAUUUAAUAUUCUAAUUAAAUACAGAUUCUAAUACACUAAUCUAUUACAAAUCUACAAAUCCUUUUUAAAUCGAGGGUUCUAAAUUGAAAUGGUUUAUUUUUUUGGUGGAAACUUUUGGUGAAUGUAUUGUUUGUUUUGGAUGAUCUUGUUGUCUAGAUUGAGUUUCCUGGUAGAGAACAGAAGGGGUUUCUUGCUGAUGUAAUGGCACUUGCAUUUAUCUAAAGUCAUAUGCACUCAUAUGCACAGGCCCUUCAAAGACUAAAGUUGAGUUUUCAGAGCUUCAGGUUCAGGACAAGUCAUAUGCACUCAUUGCACAGGCCCUUCAAAGACAGGCUAGGAAGUUCAAGACUAUAGUAGCCGUGGUGGAUGCUAGUGGCUUAGCAGGUAUUAGGAAACAUUGGAACACUCCUGUUCCUCCAGAAGUGAAGGAUUUGGUUGGGAAGCUUGUCACUGAUUGUGAAAGUGACGGAGAAGUUCCCAAUCAUGAUGAAAAGAGACGGCUACUUUCAAACAAACCUAUGGUGGCAGUUGGAGCUGGGGCAACAGCAAUUUUUGGAGCUUCGUCUCUUUCCAAAGUUGUUCAUGCAUCGACAUUCAUGAAGGUUGUUACAUUUAAAUUUCCUACUGCCCUUAAGCUUUUGCUGAUCCAAACUCAAAAGAUAAUGGCAAUAUCUAUGGGCAAGACUCUUGGUCCAACAAAACUGCUGGCCCCUGGACUGGCCAAUUCUGGAGCCAUGCAACAUCUGCGUUGAAAGCAGCUGUUUCUGCUGAGAAAAUCCGGACAGUGGUCCACAGUGUUAUAGCCUCUGCUGAGAAAACCAGUUUUUCAACUAUGAGAACAGCUUUCUAUGAAAUAAUGAGAAAACGGCAGGUUCAACCUAUUGGUGUCCUACCUUGGGCAGCAUUUGGUUGCAGUGUUGCAACUUGCUCAGCAUUGCUCAUGUAUGGAGAUGGGAUUGAAUGUGCUGUUGAGUCUCUUCCUGCAGCCCCGUCAAUCGCCAGUUUGGGUCGUGGGAUUCAAAGCUUGCACCAGGCAUCUCAAGUAGUUGGGCAGACAGAUGGCACCAGAAUACAAAAAUCUAUAGUCUUUGAUGAACAGGUUGAGGAAAGUAAAGAUGCAAUAAAGUAGGACUCGCAUCUUUUAUUUUGUUGUAUACAAGCUGAUACUGCUCAAAAGUUAUUAGUACUGGAAUUUAGAGAAAUCUUCUGUAUAUAAAUAGAAAGCAGGAGGGGUGAUUUGUAUUGUCAUGGGUGUUGAUCUUUUUUUGAAGUCAAUUUUCUAAAGGGUUCUUUACAAUGCUGCCUGGUAAACAUAUUACAAUUGUUUCCUCUCCCUGCUUCCCUCUCCCUUUAUCUCUAUGUUUAACUCCAUUUGACAAUUUCGCAUAGGUAUUACUUGAGAUUGCAUUGUUAAUUCUGACGCAGUCGAGAUUGGCUUUCUUUGCUCUCAAGCAAGGCUGCCAUUGUUAUGAAUAGCAGGCUGCUUGCCAGAAGCUCUUCUCCGGUUUCACAGUCCUUGAUUCGAUCUACUCUCCAUUACUAAAUUGUUUGUGUAAUUUAAAUCAUAACUGAAAGUUUUCGAAUCCUAUGAUGAAGCCAAGCACAUUAACUAUAAACCAAAAGAGGAGAUGGUUUUAGUGCAUCCCUCCUCACACAUCACUAUUUAUUAGAAUAUUAUUUUUGUUUUGUUUUUUAUUUCUUUGAUUUCUUUUUCAACUCCUCACACAUCACUAUUUAUUAGAAUAUUAUUUUAUUUUAUUUUAUUUUUAUUUCUUUUUCAAUUAUUUUUUUAUCCUUUAGUUUUUUUUUUUUUGCUAUUGUUUUUUUUCUUUUUUUUACAUGUUUUUUUUUCUUUUCUUUUUUCGCUGUUGUUUCUUCUUCUGUUUUUUUUUUACAUGUUUUUUUUCUUUUUUUUUUACCCAAAAUUGACUUUUUCUUCUUCUUUUUUUUUCAAAAUUAUCUUUGCUAAUUUUUUAAAAUAUUGAGCUGGUUGAAAAUUUAACUAUAUAGUUUUUUAAAAAAAACAUUGUGGAUUGCUAUAAUAUUCUCAUACAUUGUUUUUUUUUCUUUUUUAUGAUUUUUUUUAAAUGAUCUUUGUAGAUUUUAUUUUUUUUAUAUUAAGUUGGUUGAGAAUUUAGCUUUGUAGUUUUUUUUGUUAUUUUUUAAAAAACAAUAUGGAUUGCUACAGUGUUUCCCCUACAUAGUUUUUGUUUUGCUGCAGUGUUUUCCAACAUAUAUUUUUUAAAAAGUUAUCUUUAUUGAAUUUAUUUUUUCAAUAUUGAGCUGCUUGAUAAUCUAGCUUUAGCUUUUCCCACAUGUUUUUUUAUUUGUUUUUCUUUUUUUUCCAAAAUUGUCAUUUUUUACAUAUUUUCUUCUUCUUUUUUUCAAAAUUAUUUUUGUUGAUUUUUUUUCUUACUAUUGAGCUGGUUGAAAAUUUAGUUUUUUUGUUUUUUCUUAAAAUAUUGUAUCUUUCUCCACGUGUUUUUUUUUCUGCUUUUGUUUCCUUUUUUUUACAUGUUUUUUUUUCAUUUCUUUUACCCAAAAUUGACAUUUUUUUUUUAAAAUAGUCUUUGUCGGUUUUUUUUAUAUAUUGAGCUAGUUGAGAACUUAACUUUGUAGCUUUUUUUUUUUUUAAAAAAAAAAACACUAUGACAUUAAUGUUCACAAUAUCAGUGCUGGUACUAGCAGUUUGAUGGGGUUAUCUUGAUCUUAUGACCCGGGUUGCAAGUUUGACAUGUUAACUCAGGUUAUUUUUUUAAUUAUUUUUUUUCAAUUUCAUCCUUCAAUUUUGGGUUGAUUGAGAAUUAAAUUCAUAAUUUAUUUUGAUUUGUUUUCUAUAAGGUUAUCAUAAUCUCAUAACUCAGGUCAUGAAUUUGACUUGUUAAGCUGGAUUGUCCCAAGUCAAUCUAAUAUGUUGUUAUUUUAAUAUUAAAAAAGAUAUUAUCUUGAAAUUUUGUUUAGUCAAAUAUUAUUUUUACAGGUUAUAUGGGUUGUUUUUGAAUCAAUAAAGUUAACCGGGUUGAAUCAAUAAAGUUAACCGGGUUAUAUCAAGAAAAUUCUGACUUUGUCAGAAUUUAAUUUUUUUCAUGCUAGAAAAAAAAUAUUAACAUUUAAAUAUUUGUUUUAUAUUCAAGAAAAAUUUGACUUUGUCCAUAACGUAACACAAUUAAAGUUUAUUACUAGUUAUUUUGGGAGGCUAGAAAAUUCUGCUAGAUGUGCAGACUAUUUCCUUAAUAUUAAUUAUUGAUGACAAAUAUAACUUUAUGUCCAGUUAUAAGCUGCUAGAAUUUGAACUGCCUUGGUUUAUAAUUUUUUUUUUUUGUGGAGAUGUGAAAGUAUGAAUCCUCACCAGUUGAGUGACAAACUACUGUUUAUUGGGAGAAAUGAUUCUUGAACUUUUCUUGGCCAUCUGGCAGCCUAUGAUAGAUUUCCUAAAAUUUAUUUAUGCGGCCUUCUAUCUUAAAGAAUUUGACAAGAAACGAUCGGUAGAAAUUUAUAAAAAAUUUACUUUUUAAAAUUUGAUUUAUAGUUAAAUAGAUGUUAUUAAACUUGGCUGGAUACAUCAACUUAGAAUCUAGUUAAAUUCAUCCAUUUAUAAAAAAAUCUACUUCUCAUCUAAAACUUGGCUUAAACCUGAUUAAAAAAAUUAGGUAAAAAUUAAUCUAGUUAAAUAAGAGAUCCGGUAAAUUAACUUGCAAUCCAAUCAUCUUAGUUAAAAUUUAAUUUGAUUAUUAAAGUUGUUUUCCUUAAAGCAAUGACAUUUUUUUUUUAAAUUGUGAAAUAAUUCACCCGAGUAAACUUUGUUUUUCUUAAAGCAAAAACAUUUUUUUUAAAUAGUGAAAUAAUUCACCAGAGUAAACUUUGAUUUAAACUUGAAAAUCUUGAAAUAAUUAAUUUGAAGUUAAUUAUUAGUACUCUCAUCCAAUUCUCAAUUAUAAUCAUGACACAUGUAAUUGUUUUUAUUGUUUAAGGGCUAAUUAUUUUUAUGUUUUAAAAAUAUUUUAAAAAAAUAAUUUUUUUAAAUUUUUUUGUUUCAAAUUAAUUGGUAUUUGAUAAUUUCAUAUUGUUUUAAUGUGUUGAUGUCAAAAAUAAAUUUUAAAAAAUAAAAAAUAUUAUUUCGAUACAACACAGUUAUCAUAUUCUAAAACAUACAAAGUAUUUUGUCAAAAAACUUCACAUGAAAUCAAGACAACACACAAGCAAUUCAUUCUAUCAAUCUGGAAUUGCAUUACAAAAACGUGAAAAAAUAAAAUAAAAUUCUGGAGUUAACUCAGAAUCUAGUAUUAUAAGUAAUUAAUUAUACAUGCAUCAGCUAGCGUUAAUUUGAUUCCAAUCACACCUUAGAAUCCAACCUCCGUGCUUCUUUUCGUGCGAGAUGGAUAAGAAACAGUUCACUUCGAGAUCAAGCACAUAUGCUUCAGCUAGACAGUACCCAUGAGUUGCCAUGGCCUGAAAACAUGUUCCAGGUGUCUUUGUUGAGAGACCAGUGGAAAUGAACUAGGGUUGAUGAUGAGCUGAGAGGCUCUGUUUAGGUCAUUUUAUAAGGGUCUGUUGGCUUGGGGAGGAAGGACGUCGUGUGAUGUUUAGUGGUCCAAAUGGAACUUGAAAGUGAAGUAUUUGUAAUUUUUUAGUGGACAAUGUCAUGGCAGCGUAGAAACUUUGUGGAAAUGGACAAUUAAAAAAACAGGGGAUGUAAGAAACCCUUGUUUUUAGUUAUUAGUGAUUAUGUGUGCAACAUCCGGAAUUUUGCAUUGAAAGAAAGGAAGAAAUUAUGUAGAGGAAACACACCCUUGGACUUGUAAAUGUUAUACAUACUUAAUACAUGAACUCCUAACCAGUUACCGAAGGUAACCUCAACUUAUAAUUACUCUGUUUAGAGAAAGCUGCCAACUCUUGUUGAAGCCAUUGCAUGCAUUCUGAUGAACUUGGACUGGGCUUUCCACUAUUGCAAUCUUGGGCUACAAGCUCUGGGAUGCUUCUAACAGAGACACAAUAAUGGGAGAAAUGAGUGUGUAGCUCUUGAAGACAAAAUGUCAAAUCUUUCAUUUGGUAAGGGUGAUCGAUGUUUGUUCUUUGAAGAUCAUGCAGUUAUUGAUCCUGUCUUGCAUCUUAAACUCUUUUGACGAGGAGCUUGCGUGCGAGAUUCAGAGGAAGAUUGAUGAAGAUGGACCGGGCUUUCCACGAUUGCAAUCUUGGGCUUCUUCUAGGUUUGUAAUUCCAUUGUAAUCGUUCAAGUUGGCCAUGACAAAGACACAAUCAUUGAAGAAAUAAGUGUGUAGCACUGGAAGAUUGAAUGAAGAAUCUUUCAUUUUGUAGGGGUGAUCGUAGUUUUAUUUAUUGAUCGGGUCUUGCAUCUUGAUGUCGGCAAAUGCUUUUUUUGUUUUUCCGACCUAUAUAGCAAUAAAAUUUGAAAUCACCGACAAAAAAAAAACUGACGGACAUAUUCUAUCAGUAAAUAAUUUACCGAUGAACUCUUAAUCAUACACCGAUAGAAUAUUUUCAUCGGUAAAACUCCGAAAUCUUGUAGUGUGAAUAUGACUUGCUAAGGAAUGUUGUUUAUAACGAGAGAGACUCCUUCAGAGAGUUGGAGAAUGAGUUUUCUCAUGUCUGCUAGCUUGCACGUUGUUUUAUCCUGUUUCUUAAAGGAACUGAAGUUGUUUUUGUACACAUAAUAGAGCUAGAUGUUAUGUUUUUCAUAAAGAGAGUGAAAAAGUUCGAAGCUAUUGUUAUAUUGAUACAACACCAUUGUUGAGCACUUUCACCUGAUAUAUGAUUUACUGGAGAUUUUGAGCAGUUGGAAUAUUGAGAGAUUUGUUAUUAUUUCAUGUUCUGAAGUUUCAAAUCGUUAUCCAUUAAAAGAAUUUUUGGUUACUCUUACUAGCUUUCCACUAAUAAAGUCAAGAAAACUUCAUGGUUGAAUUAAGCUUUUUGAGACUUCAAUCUUGGAUCGGUGGAGUGAUAAGCUUUGUGAGGGCGAGCCCGUUUAUAGGAUUUGUACAUAUGUUUUGUUAACCCAGGUACUUUCAAUUUUAAUAUAUAUAUAUAUAUAUAUAUAUAUAUAUAUAUAUAUAUAAAAGUUACAUUUAAUUUAUGAAAUUAUUAUUUUAUAUUUAUAGUAAUGUUAGAUCUUAACUUGUAUUGGUGUAAAUAUUUUAUAUGACAUAUGAUUGGUUAAUUAUUGAUUUUAUUCUUAAACAUAUUUGGAUAAAUGAUUUAAUAACUAAAUAAAUCUUAAUUUAAUUAUAUUAUCUUCUUAGCCAUAAGUUUUUUUUUUUAUGAUAUAUAUAUAUAUAUAUAUAUAUAUAUAUAUAUAUAGACACACACACAUUUAUCAUUUUUGAUAGGUGUAGAAGUUGCUAUUUUAAAUUAUUUAAAAUAAAAAUUUUAAUACUCAUAUAAAAUAAUUAUAUUAUCAUUUUUCCUUAAAAAGAUCUAAAAAAGAUAUGAGCUUUGGUAGAAUUUUUGUUUUGGUAGGAUUUUAGGUUUUGGGGCGUUUUAUUGGGUUUUUGGUGGCCAUGGAUUGACUUAACAAGGUCUCUAGGGUCUUUUCUAGGUGUCUUGGAUAAAAUAUAAGUUGAAAAUUGAUUUUUGGGUAAAAAAAAUAAAAGACCUUGUUUUCCCGGCCAUCAUAAUAGCUGAAUUCUAGGUUGCGCAAACGACGCAUCAUUGUUUCGAGGCAAUAUAAUUUUUUUUUUAAAUAAAGACCUGCGCAUUAGCCGUUGCUUUAUUGGGUCAGAUGUUAGGUGUGGCUUGCCUGGCCCAACAGUGCCUGGCCUGAUUUUUUUUUUUUUAAUUUUUAGUUUUGUGUGUAAUUAAUCAAAUAAAUAUUAGGUUUAUGUUUUAAUUAGAUUGUGAUUAAUUUUAAAUGAUAUUGAUUAUGUUUAAUUUUUAAAGAGGUAAGUAUGAUUCAUUUGUGAUUUUUUUCUUAAUUUUAUAUAGAUUAAAUUUGUUUUUUUAAUAAGAAUUUUUAUAUGUGCAGCCUUACAUUGUUUUUUUUAAUUAUUAUUCAAAAAUUUUUAUGUGAGUGUUAGUUUCUAUUACAAAUUUAGUUUGAUAGAGGGGUUCAUUAAACACAAUCAUGUAAAUUACCCAUAUUGUAAUUUUAACACUCAUUAUUUUUAUUGUAGUUUCUUGAUUUUUUAUUUUUGUGUUGUUUUUCCUGUGAUUUUAACCCUCAUAUUUUUUCUAUGUAUAAUGCUUUUUUCCUAUAACCUAGUUCAUUGUUUAAAAAGUUAACAUGAAUUGACUUUUUUUGUCUUAUUUUUUUUAUAUUUAUUUAUUUUUCUUUUUAUAUAAUUAUUUUAUUCUCUUUUAAUUUUUAUUUUAUUAACAAAUAAGAUUAUUGAGAUGUUUUGAAAAUAUUAUGAAGAUAUAGUUAUAUAAUAUUGACAAACGUUCGCAUUGAAUUAUUUUUUUUUUCUUAUUUUAUUUGUUGUCAACAUCAUUAAAUUAACUAAUUUUAUUAAAUUUAUUAGAGCAAAUUACCUAUAUAUUAUUUUUAAAAAAAUAAUUUUUAAUAUUUUUAUAGUAAUUGGUACUUGUGGCUGGACCCGCCUAACUAGUCUUAGCUGUAAACAUAUCAUGUUAUGCCAUCCAUGUCACAAACUCAUUUAAAGCUUGACGCAUUGGUCAAUUAUUUUAUAUUUCAGUGUUUUGUGACAUUAACAAUGAAGUUAUUGAUUGAAGCAUUGGUCCACACUCUUAGUGUCUUUCAUGGCGAAGACCCCCCCCCCCCCUCCAUGUGCACUCAGGUCAAUGAUGAACAAUUGUAGGGUUCUUGGUUAUUACGCAAUAUUUUUUUUGGGCGCCAAACCUGACCUUUGAAGAUGUCAUUGACAGUGCCGCCCCAUCUUUUAUUUUUUUGUUUUUUUAUUGUGUGGGUGGCGCAAUAAUUUAAUAUAUGUUUAUUUUUAUAUUUCAAAAAUAUUUUUUAAAAAUUUAAAAAUUAAUAUAUUUUUAGUGUUUUUAAAUUAUUUUGAUAUGUUAGUAUUAAAAAUAAUUUUUAAAAAAUAAUAAAAAAUUAUUAAUAUAUAUUUUGACACGAAAAAUUAUUUGUAAAACAAUCACACUACUAAAUAAUAUCAAAUAAUUGUUGGAUUGUAGAGGAUUGUUCUCAUAAUUUUUUUUAUAUUUGUUUUUAUUUCAGUUUUUAUUCUAUUAAUUUUUUAUUUUUUUAUUUGAUACUUUUAUUUAAAAUUUUAAUCGCUUUCAAUAAAGCUUGUCGGUGGUAAGACACACUCCGAAGCAACCUGUGGUUCCACGACAAAAAUAUGAGCUCUUUCUUUUCCGUGGUCCACCACCUUUAAUUUCUUUCAUGGCAAGACUUUUGCCCCCAUGAGUAAGCAGGUCAAUGACGAAGAAUUGUAGGGUUCUUGGUUAUUUCUCCCUGCAAUUCCUUCACAAUUAUGUGAUAUAUUGAUUUUUUUCGCAUUUGAAAUGAGUUAGAGUAUUAGAUGUUAAAUAAUAUUUAUAUAGUUUUAUUUAAUAAAAAUAAAAUAAUACUUUCAGUUUGAAUCUAUAUAUAUUUUAUUUAUAUUUAGGUUAGGAUUAUACACUCAUAAUAUAUAAAUUAUUCAAAAUUUUAGUAUUUUUUAUAUAUUUGAUUUUAAUUAUUUUAACACUAAAUUACUUAAAUAUGAUGAAUAAAGGGUUGGAUUUGUAAAAUUAUUUACACAUUUUAAUUUGUCGAUCGUCAUUUUCUGCUGUAUCAUCGACGUUCUUCCUUCCUCCAACCAUUUCGAACACUAAUAUCCCAAAGCUGUAAACAUCUGAUUUAUAGGAAACACUCCCGAAGUUCCUCGAGAACACUUCUGGGGCAAUGUAGCCAACAGUCCCCCUAGCAGUCGUCAUGGAAAUGGCACUUUUAUCCUUGGAACACAACUUACCAUCCCAAAAUCGGCGAUUUUGGGAUUGAAUUCGUUGUCAAGCAGGAUAUUCUGUGGUUUGAUAUCAAAAUGGAGGAUUCUUUGAUCACACCCCUGGUGAAGAUAUUCAAUCCCCUUGGCUAUGCCUAUAGCAAUUAUUCUUUAUAUAUAUAUAUAUAUAUAUAGAGUAAUUGACUUUUUUUUUUCAUUUUUUUUCUUUCUAUACAAUUAUUAUAUUUUUUUUAAUUUUUAUUUUACUAACAAAUAAGAUCAAUGAGAUAUUUUAAAAAUAUUAUAAAGAUAUUGUUUUAUAAUAUUGACAAACAUUUAUUUUUUAUAUUGAAUCAUUAUUUUUUUCUCAUUUUAUUUAUUAUAAAAAUAAAAUAUACUUCCAUAAUAUUUAUAAUUAUUCUAUUCUCAUUAAUCAUGGUAAAAAUAAUUGGCCCGUGGCGCGACAUCCUAACUAGUCUUAUCUAUAAACAUAUCAUGUUAUGCCACAUACUCAUUACACAUUGGUCAAUUAUUUUAUACUGAUUGGAACGUUAAAGAGCCGGUCAAUUAUUUUAUAUUUCAGUGUUUUGUGACAUUAGCAAUGAAGUUACUGAUUGAAACAUUAUUCGUAAUUUAUUUUUGUGUUUUAAAAAUAUUUUUAAAAUUUUAAAAUUUAUUUAAUUUUUUAAAAAAUUAAUAUAUAUUUUUAAUAUUUUUAGAUUAUUUUAAUACAUUAAUAUCAAAAAUAAUUUUUAAAAAAUAAUAUAUAUAUAUAUAUAUAUUUUUAAAUAAAAAUAUUUUAAUAAAUAACUAUAAUUAUACUUUCAAACAAAUUCAGUUGCUUUCCUGACGAAGACAUUUCCCCGUGCGCACUCAAGUUAAUAAUGAUGAAGAAUUGUAGGGCUCUGGGUUAUUACGCGUUAACGAGUUGUUGGUGUCCCCAACAUUGGAGAUGCCACCAUAUCUUUUUCUUUUUCUCUUUUAAAGCUGUGAGCGUGAUAACAUGUGAUUAUUGAAUUGUCGCUUAUUGUUUCCUUAUUAUUUUUGAUAUUUUAUUUUUAAUUUUUAAUUUUUAAUUUUUAAUUUUUAAUUUUAUUCUUAUAUUUUAUAUCAAAAUUUUAUUUAUUUUUCAAUUAUAAUUUUAUUUAUUUCAGUUUUUAUUCUAUUAAUUUUUAAUUUUUUUAUUUGAUACUUUUAUUUAAAACUUUAAUCGCUUUCAAUAAAGCUUGUCGGUGGUAAAACACACUCCGAAGCAACCUGAGGUUCAACGACAAAAAUAUGAGCUCUUUCUUUUCUGUGGUCCACCACCUUUAAUUUCUUUCAUGGCAAGACUUUUGCCCCCAUGCGCAAGCAGGUCAAUGACGAAGAAUUGUAGGGUUCUUGCUUAUUUCUUCUGGUCCAGAAGUCUCUGCCGUGUAACAAUCUAUGGGUAGAAAUUAAUGGCAAAGGGAAGAGAUGAAAGAAGAAGGUCCAUCAAAAUCCUUCUAUCCUCCCUGCAAUUCCUUCAGAAUUCUAGGACUUGUUUAUUUUUGUAUUUUUAAAAUAUUUUAAAAAAAAUUAAUUUUUUUUAUUUGUUUAAAAUUAAAACACGUCAAUUACAAGAUAUUAAAUAAUCAAAGAAAACAUCCAAGUUUAACAUCAUAAAAUAAUAAUAAAUUAGUUCAUUGUAUAGAGAACAAUAAAUUUGUCUUAAUAAAAAAUUAAAUGAAAUCAAUCGUAUGAAAGUGAAAUAAAACAAUAAGUGAUGCCUAAUCCUUUGAUCUCCCACCAACAAUCUUUUAGCAAUAUUUUGUUGAAAACGUGUACCUCUGAUCUUACAGUUUUGUUCUUAGUUUUAUUGUCUUCAUUUGUAUUCUAUCAUUUGAAUUUUCAGACUAGUAGGUAAACAUAAAUGCAUCUAGCAACAAUUUCUCCAAGUUUUUUUUAUUGAAUCUAUGAAGAGAAUUUCAAGAAGUUAAUUAUAAAUUUAUAUAAACUCUUGUAUUAAAACAAUCAAAUUAUAUUAUAAAAUUAAUUUUGUUAUUAAUACUGUGUUGAAUUCAGAAUUUGUGAUCUAAAUAGUUAAUUUGAUCAUAGUUUGGCGAGUUUUUUUUAUCUUUUUUGAUCUGAAAAAUAUUUAUCUUGAAAUUUUGUUAGAAAAGAAUAUCAUUGCAUUGACAUGGUCUUGAUGAUGACUUACCAAAAUAAUUUUGAAUUGUCGAUGCUCCAUAGAGUGUUUAAGGCACAAGCCACUCUCUCCCAGGGAAGCAAUGAUUUUUAGUCCAAGUUAUCAUGUGCGUGCUUGAAAGUUUUUUUGUCCCGUAAUUGCAGCAAAAUUUGAAUUUUGCACCUAAAACGAUCGAUAGCAAAAACAAUCUGUAAUUUUUCUUGUAAAGAUCUGUAAAGUAAUUAUAAGAUCUGGACUUGGAUUUAGAACUUGAAAAAUCUUCUAAAUGAAUAAUAGAAAAGAAAAGAGAAGAGAAGAAAAGAAAGAAAGCUAAGCUUUACAACUGGAAAAAACAUUAUCAGCACUGGAUAAAUAUGAGAUGUUUAAGUUAAGUUGAUGCUGAAAUUCUGAAAUGUUUAUUUCUAUCACCCUCCCGAUCACUCCUUACAUAAAUAGCAUGACGUCAUAGCUUCACUAUGAGGUAAAGGUUCCAAUACCAAAAUACAAAACAAUCCCUAGAAAUAAUAAAAUCCUAAUUUCAUCCCCGGAAUAAUAGCAUAUGGCUAGAAAUCAUGGAACAUUGUCAACUGUGCUCAGCAAACUUUCAGGAUCUACUUCAAUUUUCUUAAGAGAAGGGGAAAUAGCGAUCGGGAUCCUCGUUAGCUGCGGGCAAUCACGCACAGUAAUUUCUUCGAGAGAAUCGCAUUGAAGUCUUCGAGAACAAAUGCUAUUCAAAUUUGGUAAUUUCUUCAAUACCAAAACCCUCAAUUUAUCAAUGGGAGUGCAUGUCGUCGGAACAGAACGACCCAAAAGAGUAAUGGGCAUGGAGCCACUUCCCAUUAUCUCCUGCAUGUUGUGACAAUCUUCGACUACAAUCACUUUCAAUCGGACUGUAGACAACAACCAAUGAGGGAGCAGCACCUUCAUCCUAUGACAUUUAUGUAUCACCAUCUCUCUGAGUCGGCGAAAGACACCAGCAUUACGUAGCUCUGAAGGUGCUUCAAAAAGGGUUUCUAAGAUUAUCAAACGAUCAAGGUGUAGAAUCUCAAGACCUGCACUUUCAUGUGAUCGAAAUAAGCUUCUCAUGUUUUGACAACUCACAAAAACUGCUUUUGUAGUGAAGUACAAAGAAGUUGCAUUUUCACUCAUGAGGUCAUAAAACCAAGCCUCUUUAAUUAACGUUGACUUCGAUCUUGUAUAAUUUAGAUCUUCGAGUGAAGAGAAAGAAGGUCGUCCUACAGUAACCUUGAAUGCAAUUUCUGAAAAUUUCUCUCCAGAUUGGAAAACUCUGAAAUCGUCUAGAUCACGGAAGUUGCAUUCCAAAGUUUCCAAACCAUAUAAUCUGGAAACUUCAUCUCCUCUAACUGAGAGAACAACUUCAUAUUUCUGAUGAAGCUUGAGGAACUUUAAUUUUAAGAGUUGGGGUAAAAUACCCGACCGUAAAACACGCACCCCGCGCUUCCAUCAAGAUUAAGAUACCUGAGAUCCUCCAGCCUUUCCAUUCCCUCGGGCAAAUCUUCAAGUCCAGUGUAACUGAGAUCCAACUUCUCCAAUGCCUUAAGCUUUGCUAAUGAUGGUACAUAACUCAGCUUUGCACACCAUCCCAGCAACAAUGCAGUGAGACUCGUCAGAUGAGAAAUAGAAUCCGGCAACUUCUCUAUAUCUGUGUCGGAAAGAUCAAGAACCUUGAGUCCGAUAAGGUGUUGGAAAAAAGAAUCCUCAACCAAAUUCAAUUUGUAGUUUCUGCAUAACAAUAAUGUUGAGAGACGGGGGCACAUUGGUGAAAAGCCUUUUGGAAUAUUCUCGAUUCUAUUUUCCAUUAGUGAAACUCUU